CUUUUACAUACGGGUUAGCUUCUUUACUUACUUAGUUGUUUCAAUUAUCUGCAGGUUCUUGCCACUAUAUAUUUUGGAAUUAAAAAAUAUAUUAAAUGUAAAAAUGUGAUUUUUUAAAUACAAUUUAUUUUAAAUAUAAAAUGUGAAAUUGAUACCAAUAUAAAAUUUUAGCACAAAUAUUUUAUGGCAUAAUUAAUAAUUCAAUUUUAAUAUAAAUAUUCAAUAUGACUAAACAAUUUAAUAAUAUAAAUAAUAUAAAAUGUGAAAUUUAAUUUAAUUUAAUAAUAUAAAUAGUAGAUAUAAAUAAAAUUAUUACUAUUUAUAUUUAGUGAUAUUUUUUGGAUAAUUUUGAUUUUUUAUUUGAGAAUAAAGGGUGAGAAGUAAAAGUUUAGAAGAAAAAUAAAAAGUUUUGAGGAAUAAAAGUUUGAGGGAAAGUAAAUGGGGGAGUAAAAUUUUGGAGGAAAAAUAUUAAAAAAAAAUUAGGGGGAUGGGUUUGGGGUAGAUGGGAAGUGGGAUGGGAAGGGAGUAAAAGUUUUAGGGGGAAAGUGGGAGGGCGUAAAAAUUUUGGGGAAAAAUAAAAAGUUUUGAGGGUUUUUGGGUGUAAAAUUUUGAGAAAAAGUAAAUGGGAGAGUAAAAUUUUGGUGGAAAAUGGAUUUUGGGUAGAUUGAGGGGUUGGGAUGGGAGGAGAAUAAAAGUUUUGAGGGGAAAGUGGGAAGAAGAAAAAGUUUUGAGAGAAAAGUAAAAAGGUUUGAGAGUUUGGGAUAAAAAUGUAAAAUAUUAUAGUUUGAUAUUCGAAUUAUUCGAGUUAUUCGAAUUCGAAAACUCAACUCGAAUCGAACUCGAAAUUCAAAAAAAAUUGAUUUGACUCGAAUAACUCGAUUCGUUUAACUUGAAAUUUAAGUUUUUUUUUCAAUUUUUUCGAGUCGAAUCGAAUUUUGCUCACCCCUAGUUCAGAAUAAGAAUCUUAAUUAUGAGUUUUGGGAAACGCUUUUAAUUGAUACUAUUAAUGUAUUAUUAUCAAUUUUUUAAUUUUUUUAAGUUGCUGUUAAGUAUUGGUAUGUUAAUAAUUGAUUUAUAUUCUUCAAUAUUUCUACAAUCAUUUUUUUAUAAAAAUAAUUUUAAAGUAUAUAAAUUUAUGAAAAGAGUCAGUUAUGAUUAAACUUGGAUAAAUUGAUAUCCAAGUUGGUAUAAAAAAAUUAAAUGAGUUAACAACAACUAUUAACAUACCAAUACUUAAUAGUAACUUAAAAAAAUUAAAUGAGCUUAAACAUCAUUUGUCCAAAUUCAUUUUCAAAAUGAAAUGAUUUUUAAUUUUUUUUAUAAACUUAUACGUUAAACUCACCAAAUACUAAACUAAACACAACAAUUUAUAACUUAAUCCUAAAUUACUAAUAAAUUAAUUUUAAAAUAAUUAUAAUCAUAAAAAUUUAUAACAUAAUCCUAAAUUACUAACAAAUUAAUUUUAAAAUAAUUAUAAAAAACAAAAAAAAAUUGCAUUCAUACAAAUAUUAAUCCAAAACUAUAAACACUAAACAUAAAUAACUUAUAAUUAAUAAUUAAUAACAAAAAAAUCACAAUAUCUUAAUUAAACUCUUUAAAUUAUAAACAAAAUUAUUUACUAAAAUAAUACAUUAACUUCUUCUUCUUUUUUUCUUUCUUCUUCUUCUUCUUCUUCUUAUUCUUCUUCUUCUUCUUCUUCUUUUCUUCUCUUUUCUCUCUUUUCUUUCUCUCUUCCGGUGGAUGGGGUUUGGGGGACCAUAAUUAUAAGGUCCCCCAUUUGCAACUUUUUCCCAUUGAAGGGACUAGACACAGCAGCAACAGCUACUAGCAGAUGGAGCGGGGGAGGGGGCAUGCAUGCAGCAACAUAUGCUGCAGGAGGGGUACUGUGGGGGCAGAAGGGGCAGCGGGGUAGGGGGCAUGUAGUAGCAGAUGCUGCAGGAGGGGGGACUGUGCAGGCAGAUAAAGAGAGGAUUUUUGUAUCUAUCGGAACUUUACUGUAGUUUAUCUUUGUUUGUUUUUUUUUCACCAAAAAAAAAUAAUGAGGGAAAAAAUAAAAUAAAAUAAAUAAAACAUGUCAAAAAAGGAAUAAUAAGUGAAUAAAUAAAUACUAAUAAAAGUUUAAUUAAAAAUUGAGAAUAAGCAAAUAAACAAAGAAAUAAAGAAAUAUUAAUUAAAAUAGUUUAAUAAUAAUAAUAAAAGGACUAAAUUGAAAGCUAAACAGGAUUUUAGGGGAAAAAUAGGAAUAAAAUAAAGUAAAGGACCGAAUUGUAAUGCGCGAAUGAAAGGGAAGGACCAAAUGGGAAAUAUUCCCUGUCCUCCAAAACACGCCGUUUCAAGUGGACCAAAUUAAAACCGAAAUAAAAUUCCAGGGCAUAAAUUAAAAACUAAAAAAAACAAGAUUUAAAAACUAAAAAAAUGCAAAAGGGCCAAAUGCACAAAUAAUCCUUCUACUAAAAAAAUGUGGAUCCUAAGCCCGGCGGGUCGGGUCGGGUAGGUUCGGGUCACAUGAAAACAAUGUCGUUUUGGUGUCUGAGGGAGCUGGCCAAAAUGGCGUUGUUUUGACACCCUAUAUAAGUCACCCAAUCUAAAAAAAAAUCAUUUAUCCCCUCUUUAGAAAAAAAAUCAAAAACUCUCUCUCCCCCUCUCUCACCUCCUAAGUCUGAUGGGAGCUCCGGGCAGUCGUCACCGCACUAGCCACCGUUUACGGCGGCUGAAAGACAGAAAAUCUCCCUUUUUUCAGGCGAUCGAAAAACAAGUGAUGGCUUCUCCUUUUUUUGUUUUUUUAAUAUAUAUGUAUAUAUAAAAAAACAUAUUCAAAAAAGAGUGAAAAGAAAAAAUUAAAAAAAAAACCUUAAUCCGAUUCGAUUUCUUUCUCUAUGUUUCUUGCCUCGUUUUUUUUUGUGUGUGUGAACUUUGUUUUUUAUUCAACUGCUUGUUGUUUUUAUUUUUUUGGGUAUUCAAAUCUUGUUAAAAAUAUUACAUUGAGUCUCCUUUGGCUUUAUAGUCUCUUUCAAUACAAUAUCAUAUAUUUACUACUGCCUAAUGUCUUUUCUACUGUUGAUUUUGCAAGUGGCGAAGGCGGUGCUGGCAGUGGACUAGGGGCGGCAGCAGACCUAGGUACGGUGCACAUAGGGUUUUUCUCUCUUUUUUCUUUCUAAAAAUUUUUAGGAUUUUGGGCUAGGUUUUUUUAUUUGGGCCUUAUUGGGCCUUUGGACUGUAUUUGGACUAUUUGGAUUUUUAUUAUUUGGUUUUAAUUUUUUAGUUAGUGGGCUAGGCAAAUUAGGCUUAUUACAAGGUCUGUUCUUUAAAGAAAAUUGAUAGGUGGUAGGUAAGGAGGUUCUUCUCUUGUGUCAUGACAUCUCUAAUGGAAAGAGGGAUACUUCAGACAUCAAUGAUAUAGUAGUGGUUCUCAUCCCUAAGAUCAAGGACCACAAAGACAUGACUUAUUUUUGGCCUAUUAGUUUGUGCAAGGUUAUUUUCAAAAUAAUCUCCAAGGUUUUAGCUAACAGAUUAAAGGUUGUUCUCCUUUCAUGUAUUAGUCAGAAAUAGAGUGCUUUUUUCCUGGGUCGUAUGAUUCACGAUAAUAUCCUUAUCGCCCAUGAAUUAAUGCAUUAUCUAUAGAGCUGAAAAAAUGGGCCGAAUAAAGGGUUCGUCAUUAAGCUCGACAUGAGCAAAGCUAAUGAUCGUGUUGAAUGAAACUUUUCUCGAGAAGGUGAUGGAGAGAAUAAGUUUUGAUGACAAUUGGAUUAAGAAAGUUAUGUGAGUUGUUCGGUCUGUGAGGUAUGUGGUUAAGUGAAACAUGAUUCUUUUGGAGGUUAUUGUUCCCGAGUGGGGUCUUCAUUAGGGGGAUCCACCUUCCCCUUACCUUUUCUUAUUUUGCAUGGAAGCUUUCUUGAGGAUGCUUCUUAAAGCUCAAGAUGUUAGUCAUAUCCGUGGCAUUCGAGCUAGCAAAAAUGGCCCUCAGAUUAACCACAUGUUCUUUGCCGAUGAUGCCCUCUUUUUUGUUAGAAAUAAGAUCAAUGAAGUUAAGGCUAUUAUGGAGAUUCUUAGAGAAUUUGGGAAAAUGUCGGGUUAAAAGAUUAAUCAUGCUAAGGGCACGUUUGGUUCGCUGUAUUGGAUUAGAGGUGUAUUGGAUUAGAGGUGUAAUGGAUUAGAGGUGUAUUGGAUUUGAGGUGUAAUAGCAAAUCAACUGUUUGGUUGAAUGUAAUGGAAUAGAGGCGUAAUAGUAAUCUUGUGUUUGGUUGAAUGGAAUAGAGGUGUAAUAGCAUAAUGGAAAAAACUAAAAUGACUAGAAUACCCUUACCAUAAAUUUGUUUUGGUAAAUGAUUAUUGUUAUUGUUAUUUAAAUUUUAAUAAGAUUAUUAAUAUCAAUAAUAAAUAAUUUAAUCAUAUUUAAACAUAAUUAUUAUUAAAUAUAUUAUAAUUAAAAUAUAUAAUUUAAUAAAAUUCUUAAUAAUCAAUAUUCUUAUAUGAAUUUACUCAAAUCAUAAUAUAUGAUACUAUAAAAUAUAAAUUAACAUAAUUAUUAUUAAAUAUAUUAUAAUUAAAAUAUAUAAUUUAAUAUUAUUAUUAUUAAUCAAUAUUCUUAUAUGAAUUUACUCAAAUCAUAAUAUAUGAUACUAUAAAAUAUAAUUUAACAUAAUUAUUAUUAAAUAUAAUUUAAUAAAAAUAUAUAAUUUAAUAAAAUUCUUAAUAUUAAAUAUUCUUAUAUGAAUUUAAUAAAAUCAUAAUAUAUAAUACUAUAUAAUAUAAUUUAAAAUAAUUAUUAUUAAAUAUAAUUUAAUAAAAAUAUAUAAUUUAAUAAAAUUCUUAAUAUUAAAUAUUCUUAUAUGAAUUUAAUAAAAUCAUAAUAUAUAAUACUAUAUAAUAUAGAUUAAUAAUGUAGAGACUUGCUAAGAAAACAUGGAUUAAACAAAUGUCAAGCAUAGGCUUCUUCCAAAAAAUUUUUCUAUGAACAAUCACAUAGGCAUAAAGCAACCAUGGUAAACUAUAAAAAAAAAAAAGAUCUAUAUGUUAUCAAGCAGCAAAUCUGUGUUUGUAACUUCUAAUAUAUAAGUUCUGCAUGCAUAUUCAAGAAAAACAACUAGUAUACAAAUCACUUAACAUACAAAAGUUAAACUAUAAAGCAGUAAACAGAGUGACAUUAAAGUGAACUUGAAACAACCAACACUGACUCAUAAAACAGAUUCUUAAGCCUUAGCAACAGCUUUCUAGUGACAUUUACAUGCAAUCGCAGGCUUUGAGAAAUGAUGUAGACUAGGGUCAUUUUCUCAUUUACAAACAUUAUGGACAAACAUUGCAAGUAUAGACAGGUUUUCUAUCCACACUUUAUUUCAUCAAAAAUAUUGCAAGUAUCUCUUCAUCAGUCGAGUACAAAUUAUCAAAAUCUGACUCGAACUCUUCAUCAUCCACAUCGUCUCGUGGUUGCACCUCCAAUUCAUCCAUCAAUUCAUCAUCGGUCUCCUCAUGCUUCCCAGCUAACUUUCUACGCAAAAUGGCCUCAAGAACUGAAGGGAGUGCCUCUUCAUCCCCUUCAAAGUACUUCUUGAUUCGGGUUUUCAGCUCUGGCACCAAAUAACUAAGUUAAACAACAUAACAAAAAAACAAACUAUCAUGAUUUAUCCAAACAAAUAUAUACAUAUAUCAUGAUUUAGUUUCCCUUCCUUUCUCAACAACCAAACAAAUAAUUUCCAAAUAAAAAAAAAGUAAAUUCCAGCAAAGAAGAAGCAAAGAUUAAAAAAAAAUAAUUUCAUCUUAUUCAACUCUUGGAAGAAAUCAUAUAAAAUUUAGUUUUAGCCUUAAGUUCUACACCAGUAGCAUCAGUUGACACAUUAUACACAUAGGCAAAUUCAAAAUACUAAGAAAGAGCUAAACAUUGUAGUAACCGAUUAACUUUCUGAUAUAUUAAUGAGUCAUCCAUUUCAACAUCACCAACUACACAUAUAAAUAAGAGUACCAUAGAGUCGCAUUUGCAAGCUAUGCUACUCGUACUCGAGUAUGUUCAGUUUUUUAAGUUUUUUGAGACAUCUUCAAACUCGUAUCCGGAGAUAUACCAAAAAAAGGCCAGCCAUGAAUACUUCAGGAAAAGAAAUAAAAGUUGCAAGUCUAGAAUUCCAAGCAACUACUGUUCUAGAUGAAAAGGGCAUAUCAAAGCUCCUUUUCAAAAGCAUAUGCAAUUUUCCAACUGAUGACAGCAAACUAAUUCUAGAAUAAGAGCUAAACUAUAUACAUAUAUAACUCAAAUAUAUGUGCUACAAUGAAAAACAAUCGGCUUCAUCACCGUUCUCAACAUGGUCUACUGUGUUAUUAAUUUUAUGAAUUUAAGCAAUGAGAAAUGCUACCAGAGACACCGAUCACCUCUCCUUAGGUAAUGCCAAUUUUUUAUCUUUAGCUACAACAUUCGGAGCAAACAGUAACAGAUAUGAACAUCAUAUUUGAAAUGAAUGGAUGGUCCACUGGAAGGUAAGUUAUAAUAGUAGUCCUAUGUCCUACCAAUUGUAUUGAUGCAAGUAAUAUCAAUGCUAUUAACUAAUUUAAGGGAGGCAUCCAACAACAGAAGGCGAAGUUGGUCCAUCCAAAGAAAAGACAAAAAGAAGCUGGAGUCCAAACACCAUAGUUGAAGCAGGAAAAUCAUCUAAACAAAAGGCUUUGCAUGUCCAGAACCAGAAUGCAGGCAUAUUAUAGCCUUGUGACAAGUAUUAUAACAAAAAAAAUAACAGCCAAACCUCUUGUCCAGCACCAGUUGAAAUGAUUGAAGUCGAUGAGAAAUCUUCCAAUUCAGCAGCCUUUUCUCUUGCAAGAGCAACAACACUUUCAGGAAAAUUGGCAAAUUCUACCACAUGAAUACCAAAACUUUCAGGAUAAACAGGUAUAUUUCAGAAGCUAUAAAUCAUGAAUAAAGCCUUAGUGCAACACAUAAAGCAAAUAACCUAUCAAAUAAUUACAGUUCUUCACAGCUUGCAGACCUUAGCAGCAAUAAGUCCACUAAUUUGAGCCAUAUCACAAAGCAAAACAGCACCACACUUAUCCGCAAUCUGUCGAAACCUUCCGUAAUCCCAUUCCCUCGAAUACGAACUACCACCACAAAUCAAUAUCUUAGGCCUAAAAUCAAGCGCCCUCUAUUCCAACUUCUCAUAAUUUAUAUACCCAGUUUGUGGAUUUACUUUAUAUGGCAAACUCUCAAAGAAAAUUGAAGCAGAAGAUACUUUUCUACCAUGUGGGGUAUAAUACCCAUGACUGGUAUUCCAUCCUGAUAGAGUAUCCAAUCCCAUGAUCCUAUCUCCGGGCAAUAGUAACCUAGUAUAAACUGUGGCGAAGAUGAAACUAACCCUAAAGAGAGCGUUGAUAAAGUGUCAGCCGAUUGAGAUAACAAAUCCAUGGAACAAAAGCUUGCAUUCAAACAAAACCCAAACGAAAAAAAUGAAUAAAUAAGAGAAAAAUUAAAACAGAGAAAGCCGAAGACAAUGUUGAAGCAAAGAUUCAUACCUGAAAUCGGCCUCCGAUGAAACAAUGUUGAGGAUUUGUUAUGAAAGCAGAAGAAAUGAGGAUAGAUCUGCAAUGCCGAUGGAAGAAGAAGCAGAAAUUAUGAGGGCAGAAAAAGGAAACGAAAAUAAGAAAUGGGGUAAGAAUUCUCUAAUCGGCGCUGGAUGGGGGAAUAGCUAUUACGGGACCGGGUGUAUUAGGGAAGGAACAGAUUUGGGACGUAAUGGUAAUACAACCAACCAAACAACAGAUUAAAUGGGGAUUAUGUGGGGCCCAUCGAUUAGGGGUGUAUUGGCUAUGCCAAUACAUCCAACCAAACAUGCUGUAAAUCUAUGGUGUUCUUUAGCUUAAACACCUCUAAGAACCAAAUACAUCUUUAUGGCGAGAUGUUGGGCAUGCGAGUUGUGGAUAAAUUGGACAAUUAUCUUGGUCUGCCUCUCCUCGUGGGCAGAAAGAAGACAAUUUCUUUUCAAGACAUCCUUAAUCACUUUUCUAAUAAGAUUAAUAGUUGGUCAAAGCGGUUAUUAUCCUAUGGUGGUAAAGAGGUUUCAUUAAAUCAAUUUUACAAUCCUUACCAACUUAUGCUAUGUCUGUUUUUCUUGCUCCCAAGGGCACUACAGAGGAGAUGCUUUUAAAAUUACGACAUUUAUGGUGGACUAGCAAGGAGAAAGAUAGAGGACGGGACAAUAACAUUAGAAUUGGUGUGGAUAUUUGGGGGUUUGAAGGCCUUAAUGGCAAUUCCCUUUGCUAUCAUAUGUCUAAUAUUUCAGAAAAAAUGGUUCGUGAUCUUUGGGUGCCCAACUCUUUUGCAUGGAAUAAGGAUUGGGUUUGUGAGCUCUAUGGUGAGCUUGUGUGGGAUCGUAUUUGUGACCUCUCUAUUAUUUCUAAUGGUUUGAAUGAUAAGGUGAUAUGGUUCCAUAACAUCAUGGUCUUUUUCAUGGAUUUUUCUUAAGAGAAUAGGCCUUGGUCCGCAUUGUCUUUUUUGGAAGUUCAUCUGGAAGAUUUAAGGUUCUUCCCAAAAUUCGUGUUUUUGCUUGGACAAUUGGCCAUGAGCUGCUCCACAUGAAUGCCAAAAUUUCCUCCGUUAAACAGAAUGCUAGACAGGACUACCCAAGGUGUGGUGCUAGUGAAGAAACUGUUAUUCAUGCGCUCAAAGACUACCUGAAAACCAAUGCCAUUCUUGCCUUCAGUGGUCUCGGUGGUAGGCUCAUUGACAAAGAACAUUGUUAAUGUAUUGAUUGGCUUGAAGAUGUUAUACGAUUGUUAGACAAAAAAACCUUUGAAGAUUUAAUUAGGACUCUUUGGAAUGGUUGAAACAGUCGCAAAUUUGGUUACAAGGACCCAAAAUCAUUUAACUCGAACAAAUAUAAUCGAUUUGAUUUGAUUCAAAUUCCAUCUCACUUAAUCUGAUUCGAGAAAAUUUCAAAUCGAGUUAGGAUGAUAAAAUAGGAUUCAUCAACUCAAUUAACUCGAAAUUUUUUCAUUCGAUUUGAUCGAACGCUCACCCUUAAACAUGGUACAACUUGAGCUACAAAACUUUGAUACGUGGAUAAUACCUUCGAUUGUUGGGGGUUUAAGUUAGGUACCAUGAGGACAUACUUUGAAGAUUUCUCUAAUAGGGAGAUGAUUCCCCCUCAAUAAAAUAUAUUUAAAUUGUUGUGAAAUUAUUAUGUUUAAUUUGUUUGGAUUUUUAUUUAGCUACAUUUUUAAUUUGUAUUCAUUUCUUGUUAAUUAUAAAUUUAUUUUAUUUAAAUUAGUUUUUUUGUUUCAUUUUAUAUUAUUCGCAAAUUUAGAUUCGGAUGUUUGCAUAUUCAAAUAUCCGACAUAUGAUUGAAAAUGUUAAAUUUAAAUUUUUUACAGAUUUAGAUAUAUGAUGAAUAAUGAUAUUUAAUUCGGAUUUGGAUAAUUUCACUCGGAUAAUUUGUGAAUUCAAAUUAUCAAACAGAUUGACAAAUUCGAAUUUAAAUAGUUAAAAUUGCAGAUAUUCAACCUACUGCAAUUCCUACUUAAUUCAGUUUUUUUAUUAUGAAAAUUUCCAUUACAAUUGUCAUUUUUCUACCUAAAAAUUUGGAAUCCAUAAAGUUUUCUUUUUUUAAUAUUGCAAUCCCUAAAGAUAAAUGCCCAUAAACCACAUUCGUUUUAUAUUAAUAAUAAUUCUAAACGAUAAUCCUAGCUUAUAUUCGUAACAAAAGAAAAGGACAAAAUGAAAAAAAAAAAAGCAAAGGGCAAAUGACAAAUUAACAUACAUAAUUGUAUUUUUUCUGUAAAAGAAACAUACACGGAAACCAACACAUGCUAGUACUGUGUCAAAUUAAGCAUUCAGUUAAUUCAUCCUACCCCUCCUUCGAUUCUGCAUCUUUCUUUUAAAAUACUUGAUAAACAACUUAUGUUUCAUCGGGUUGAAGGGGUAUCUCACUACCGCACUUCCAUAUCCCAACAUGAUCGCUUUCCACCCAAAUUGAAGCCAUGAAUCUUCACCGUCAUCUUUCUUUGACAAUGAAGGCGGCGGUGGUGAUAAGCCUUCGGGAUAGCAUUUCUUUGACAAUGGAUUCUCAUAUAAUCCUAGGUUGCCCUCAAAUAAGUUUUCGAACGUACCAAAUUGUUUGCCUUGCGGUAUAGGUCCGGUCAAAUUAAAAAAUUCAAGGAAAUUGAGUUGCACUAGCUCCUGAGGGAUCUCUCUAGAGAGCUUGUUCCGAGAAAGGUCCAAAGCUUGGAGGUUUGUGAGAUUUGCUAAUGAUUAUGGGAUUGGACCCGAAAGAAAAUUGUUAGAAAGGUUGAGGAAUUGAAGUGCCUUUAGAAUUUGAAUGUUUUCUGGAAUGCAGCCAUCAAACUUAUUGCUUGAGAGAUCAAUGACUACCAAGGAAGCUUGAAUCUUCUCGUAUUUUAUUUUCACGCCUGCCUUUGUGAUUGUCAUUAAGGAGAAACACCAACCUGACUUUCUUCUCCCACUUCAGAACUAACGUUUGCCCCCAAGUACCUUAACUUGCCAACAUCACCAACCUUCAUAGCCUUCCAUCUUUGGAAGUGACACAAUGACAAACAACCUGUCAAAUUAUUGAAGGAAAGAUCAAGAAUUUGCAACUUUGAAAACUCGUUGGAUUUUGGUUCUCCAAUUGCACCAUAAAAUCCAUUAUUGAAACUAAAUAUCCAUUUAUAAUUUAAAGAUUCCUCGUGAGAAUAAAGAUUUUGGAUAUUGAAACCAAUUAUCCAUUUAUAAUUUAAAGUUAAUUUUUUAUUUUUUAAAAUUAAUAUAAUAUUUUUAAGAAUCUAAUUAAUUAGAUAUUUUAUUUUUAAUUGCAAUUAAGAAAAAUAAAAAUGAACAAGAAAAAUAUCAUUUCUACUCUUUCAAAUAUUUUAUAGUAUUUGUUAAGUUUUUUUUAUUGAAUUAGUGUCACCUUCAACUAAGACACACACCCGUAUCUCUACCCGUGUGGACGAAAUAGGCCAUUUUCAAAGCCACAUUUCUCACCCAAUUUAUUUUCCACCUACAUUAACACUUUAACAUAUCAUCAAGCCAACCAAAGCAUUCAAAUCAAGCCAAAAAUCUAGUUUUUAUACAUAUCAUAACUCCACAUAUAAUCAAGUAAUUAUACUUACCUAUUUGUCCAAUCACACAUAUAGGCUUAUUUGUAUCUAUUAUACCAAUUCAAAGCAAUCCAUCAAUAUGCUUAUGAGUUAUUCACCUUUUCACCAUACGAAUCUCACCUCAAGCAUGAUAAGGCCAUAUAUAAUUACAUUAAAAUAUGUCCAACACAAGCCAUUCCAAUGGCUAAUUAUAACAUAAUACAUUUAAAAGCCAACAUUGACUAUUUAGCCUAUACAUGCCAUUAUAACCAAAAUUGAAAUUCUAUAUAUACCGAAUGAGCUGAUACAUAACGUGAUGUAGCUUUGCCAGCUUCCAGCCUUUACGAGCUUUCGAGUACUAUAAGACAGGGGAAAAUAAAAUAGAGUAAGCUUUAAAACUUAGUAAGUUCGUAUAACAGGAAGUUAACUUACCAUUAUUUCAUAUAUAAGGUAAGUAUACAGGAAAUAUCCAAUCAACUUGGCCAUAGCCUAAACACAUAUCCAUAUCACAUUAGCUAAGUAAUCACAUGUAUAAACCAUAAUCAUGGAUGAUCAAAGUUAUCAAGUAAAUUCCACAUUCGUGUAACAACCAAUUCAUGCUUCAAUAAAUCAAGUAAUAUCAUUUCCAUGUAUUUUAGGUAUAUACCAGUAUAGUUCAUUUUAAAUUCACAUUGUAUCAUGUCAGAACGUUGCCCAUUGAACCAUUUAAAAAUUGAUGUAUACAAGGGUAUUACACAUGAAGUGUACAAAACUGCAAUCCGUCAAUUCUUACAAUAUCUAUCAAUUCAUAUUUGGGAAUGCUCAUAUGAGCACAUAAACGGGAAGCUCUUCUGAGCCAUAUAACGGGAAGUUAAUGUGAGCUAUGAAAUGGGAAGCUCAUGUGAGCCAAUAUCGAGAAGCUCCAAAGAGCCAUUAACGGGAAGGGCAUGAGAGCUGCGGUGUGUCCACAACACAUGCGGAAUCACAACCAAUCGGGAUGCUCAUAAGAGCUAUUAACAGGAACUCGUGAGAGCCAUAUAUCAAGAAGCUCAAGAGAGCCAAUAUCGGGAUGCUCAUGAGAGCUAAUAACGAGACGUUCUUACAAGCUGUGGUGUGUUCACAACACAUGCAGGACCACAACCAAUUCGGGAACCCUAUAUCUAUCGAAUUUCAUUUAUUCAAAGGAGACUUAAUACUUUUCUGUCGUCAUCGGAUAUGUGAUUAAUUUCAUAUACAUGGUAAUAAUACAAUCUCAUACAUACAAUUCAAUUAACACAUAUAAAUUCUCAAUUUAGUUACAUGAACUUACCUCAACAAUUGUACGUUGAUUUGUUAUCUACUAAUCUGAUACUUUUUCUUUUCCUCGAUUUAACUUCGUAUUUGAUCUAUCCAUAUCUAUACGAAUGAAUUUAACAUCAAUUCAUAAUCAAUUUAAUCCAAUUCACAUCUUUGGAGAAAUUAUCAUUUUGCCCCUAUAUUUUGAUUAAUUAUGUUUUCGUCCCUAGGCUCGAAAAAUGAAAUUCAUACAAUUUAAUCUUUAUUCCAAGCCCACACGAUUUUUACAUAUAACAUUAGCAGCCCAUGUAUUUCAUAAAAUUUAGAAUUUUCCAUGAAUUUGACAUCUUUUCAAUUUAGUCCCUAAAUCAUAAUUUCAUCAAAAUUCCCUUUACAAAAGUUGUUUAUCUAUCAACAACCUUUCAUUUUCUACCAUAAAACUUCAUAAUUAAACUAUAAUCAUCCAUGAAAACUUUGAUAACGUUGCAAAUUAAUCCCUGAGAUAGCUAGAUUAAGCUAUUAUGAUCUCGAAAACAUGAAAAUUAUUAAAAAUGGAACAAGAAUACUUACCCAAUUAAGCCAAAAAAGCUUUCUCAAAACUCAAUUUCCAUGGCUAGGGUUUCCAUGUUUUCUGUUUAGGAAAGAUGAUAUAAAAUGAUGAUAUUUUGUUUUAUUUUAUUAUUUAUCAUCUUUAAUUAUUUCAUCUUUCCAAUUUCAUUAUUUUCUUUAUUAAAUUUUCCAAUGAUGAAUCAUCAUACUUAUCUACUAACUCUUCUAAAUGGUCUAUUUACCAUAUAAGGACCUCCAAUUUUGAAUUCCAUAACUAUUUGAUCCCUUUAGCUAUUAGAAUCCAACUUUUGCACUUUAUGCAAUUUGGUCCUUUUCAUCAAAUUAAACAUGUAAUCAGUAAAAAUUUCUUUAUGAAAUUUUCAUACGACAUUUUUAUCAUAAUGUAGACCAUGAAAUAAUAUGAAAAUAAUUUUCCUUCCAGACUCAGAUUUGUGGUCCCGAAACUACUAUUUCGAUUUCACUGAAAACAGACUGUUACACUAAAUCUGUUGUUUUGAUGGGAAAUAAUACUUUGCGUAAAAUCGUAGGUGUUGGAACAAUUAAAGUUAAGAUGUUUGAUGGAGUUUUCAGAACACUUAGUGACGAACAACAUGUUCCAGAAUUGAAGAGAAAUUUAAUUUCGUUGAGUACUCUUGAUUCAAAAGGGUACAAGUACACAGUUGAAAGUGGGGUUUUGAAGAUUUCCAAAGGCUCCCUCGUUAUGAUGAAAGGGCAGAGAAAGACUGCCAAGUUAUAUGUUCUGCAGGGUUCUACUGUUACUGGUGACGUAACUGUUGCUUCCUCUUCAUUGUCAGAUGAUAAUAUUACUAAACUUUGGCAUAUGCGCCUUGGGCAUAUGAGUGAGAACGGCAUGGAAGAAUUGAGCAAAAGGGGAUUUCUUGAUGGGCAAGGAAUUUGCAAAUUGAAGUUAUGUGAGCACUACGUUUUUGGGAACAAAAGAGAGUUUGAUUCACCAGAGGAAUCCAUAACACGAAGGGAACAUUAGAGUAUAUUCAUUCUGAUCUGUGGGGGCCAUCCAGAGUGCCUUCGAGAGGUAGAGCUAAUUAUAUGCUAACUUUUAUUGAUGAUUUUUCCAGAAAAGUUUGGGCAUUCUUCCUGAAGCAGAAAAGCAAUGUGUUUUCCGUAUUUAAGUCUUGGAAACUAUGAUCGAAAGGCAAACGAGAAAACAAAUAAAAUACCUCUACACAGACAAUGGCUUAGAGUUUUGUUCUAAUGAGUUUAAUAAACUGUACAAGUUAGAAGGGAUCGUAAGACACUUGACAGUUCAUCAUACUCCACAACAAAAUGACUUUACAGAACGAAUGAAUAGAAUGAUCAUGGAGAAGGUUCGAUGUAUGUUGCCAAAUACCAACUUACCAAAGUUAUUUUGGGCCGAAGUAGCCUUCACUGCAUAUUUUUUGAUCAACCGAUCUCCAUCCAUUGCCAUUGAGAAAAAGACUCCACAAGAGGUAUGGUCUAGUAAUCCUACUGACUAUUCUGAUUUAAAGAUCUUUGGGUGUCCUGCGUAUACUCAUGUUGAUAAUGGAAAAUUGGAACCGAGAUCCAGUAAAUGUGUUUUUCUUGGUUAUAAAGCUGAUGUAAAAGGGUAUAAGUUAUGGUGUCCUGAAAAUAGAAAAGUUGUGAUUAGCAGAGAUAUUGUUUUUUUAUGAAACUGCUAUGCUACCUGACUUAUCUCUUGAAGACUCUUCCAAUAAAGAAAAUCAAAAGUAGGUGGAGCAUCAGAUUAAUCCAGAAUCUACAACAGAGUCGACUCCUCAAGCUAGUAAAAAAAUUCAAAAUAGAGCUGCUUCUUCACCACAAUACUCUAUCGCCAAAAACAAAGCUAGAAGAGAAAUUAAACCUCUAAAGAAGUAUGCCGAGACUGAUCUAGUUGCUUAUGCUUUAAAUGUGGCUGAAGAUGUAGAUGCAAACCAAGAGUCAUCUCAUUAUUCUGAGGCGGUUAGCUGUGAAGACUUAGAAAAGUGGAUGUUUGCUAUGCAAGAGGAGAUGGAAUCACUCCUCAAAAAUAGAACACGAGAUCUUGUGAAACUUCCUAAAGAUAAAAAGGCUAUUUGUUGUAAAUGGGUGUUUAAAAAGAAAGAAGGGACUCUAGAAGUUAAAGAACCCAGAUAUAAAGGAAGGCUGGUUGCAAAGGGUUAUAGUCAAAUUCUAGGAGUGGACUUCACAGAUGUGUUCUCCUCAGUUGUAAAGCAUAGUUCAAUUUGAGCUUUCCUUGGUAUUGUGGCCAUGCAUGAUUUGCAGCUUGAGCAGUUAGGUGUAAAAACUGCAUUUUUGCAUGGAGAACUUGAGGAGGAUAUUUACAUGCAACAACCAGAGGGUUUUACAGUAUCAGAAAAAGAUGACUAUUUUUGCUUGCUGAAAAAGUCCCUUUACGGUUUGAAAUAGUAUCGAGACAGUGGUACAAGAGAUUUUAUUCCUUUAUGACUUCUCAUUAUUUCAAAAGGAGUAGUUUUGAUAGUUGUGUUUACUUUAAGAAAAACAGUGAUGGUUCUUUUGUGUAUCUACUCAUUUAUGUUGAUGACAUGUUGAUAGCAACAAAAGAUAAAUGAGAGAAAAGAAAACUCAAAGCCCAACUAAGUGAAGAAUUUGAGAUGAAAGAUUUGGGACCGGUAAAGAAGAUACUUGGUAUGGAGAUUCUCAGAGAUAGAAAAGCAAGUAAAUUGUACCUAAGUCAGAAGGGGUACAUUGAGAAAGUUCUUUGCAAGUUCAAUAUGUAGAGUACUAAGCCUGUUAGUACUCCUUUAGCAGCCUAUUUCAGAUUUUCAUCGGCUUUGUCUCCACAAUCAGAUGAUGAGAUUGAGUACAUGUCACAUGUUCUAUACUCUAAUGUAGUGGGAUCUCUCAUGUAUGCUAUGGAUUGUUCACGUCCAGAUUUAUCAUAUGCAGUCAGUACAGUUAGCAGAUACAUGGCAAAUCCUAGUAAAGAACAAUGGAAAACAGUUCAGUAGAUUUUAAUAUACUUACGAUGUAUUACUGAUGUUUGCUUACAGUUUGGAAGAACUAGAGAUGAAGUCAUUGGGUAUGUUGAUGCUGAUUUUGCAAGAGACCUUGAUAGAAUAAGAUCUCUCACAGGUUAUGUCUUUACAAUCGAAGGUUGUGCAAUUAGUUGAAAAGCCACUUUGCAAACUACAAUCGUUUUGUCUACCACUGAAGCUGAGUAUAUGGUGAUUACUGAGGCUUGGAAAGAAACCAUUUGGUUGAAGAGACUUUUUAGUAAAAUCAAUGAAGACCUUCAAAUCAGUACAGUAUUUUGUGACAGUCAGAGUGCCAUUUUUCUAACAAAAGAUGAAAUGAUUCAUGAGAAAACAAAACACAUUGAUGUUCGGCAUCAUCUUGUUCGUAAUAUUAUUGUUUGUGGUGAUAUUGUUGUGAGCAAAAUUAGUACUCAUGAAAACCCUAUAGAUAUGAUGACUAAGUCACUUCCUAUAGCCAAGUUUGAGCAUUACUUAGACUUGGUUGGUGUUCAUUGUUGAAGAUAAACCUUUAAGGGGUUUUAUGGAAGAGGUGGAGAACUUGUUCAUUAAGAGUUCGUGAUGAAGAACUUGUUCAUUGAGAAUUCGUGUCAAGGUGGAGAUUGUUAGAAUUGAGUGACUCGAAUCUUUAUUUAAAUAAAAUACAGUGGUAAAAUAAAUUAAAAGUUAAAUCCAUAUAGAACUACACUUCUUUAUUUUAUUUUAGAAUAAGGUUUUUUAAACCUUAUUAAACUACAUUUAUUUGAUAUUGAUUAGAAUAAGGUGUUUCAAUCUUACUACACUCCUAUUAGAAUAUGAUUUUACAAGCCUAUAAAUAGAUAUAGUCUACUCCUUUUGUAAUCAUUCGAAUUCGACAUAGUGAAUUUUCUUCUCCUCUGCCCGUGGUUUUUUCUUGAAAGGGUUUCCAUGUAAAAAUUUAUGUGUUCUUUAUUUUUAUUUCUCUUUUCUUUGUGAUAUAUUGUCAUUACUGACAUUCUAUUUUUACAGAAUGUUUUGUGUUCGUGGUUUUGUCUUGAAGUUUUUACAUAGUUUAAUUUCAACUGUGAAUUAGCGUUUUAGUUUAAUUGAGCUGUUAAUAGAGUUAUUGAAUGGUCGUUUUAGGCUUCGAAAGUCUGCUGUAUUGUUCUUACUUUGAAUUGCUAACAAGUGCGUAUCAAAAAUCUGGCUUUCUGUAAAUUUUGGAGACCGAAAACCAUAGCUGUCGACGCAACACGGUUGUAUGCCAGGCUGUGUGAACCACAUGAUUGUAUGUCAAGUCGUGUGGCAAACCUUGUAACCCACUGUUCAUGAAUUAGAGACAUACGAGCUAGGGACACGAACUUUAACUCAUUGUUCACAACUUAGAGACACAUGAGACAGAGACAUAGGCUGUGUCAGGCCGUGUGAGGCCACACAGGUUAGCUGUGUAAGCCGUGUGAAACCACACAGGCGUGUAGACCAAAAACUGGAUUUUCCUUUAGGCUACGUGCUUUGUUUGAAACGAAUAUCGAUCCUCUAUGGGGUUCAUAUGAACUACAUUGAAUUGUAUAAAUUACUAUUUUAUGAUCCUUGACUGGGUACUAGAUAACUGUAUACGUAUUGCAUGUGAAAAUCGUUAGUGAUGUCGAUAUAUAUAUUUCGUAUGAGCUUGAUUUGUAUCUGAAUGGUUAUACAAACUUCUGCAUUAACUGUCACUUUAAUUCUGUAUUUACAUUGGGUUUAGAACUUUAUAUUGGAGGUAGUGGUAUGCUCUGAAUCAGCGGCUAAGCCACAGAGAUUGUAAUUGAAUUCGGUGUUUAACGUAAUCUGUACAACAACUAGGUUGCAGAUAUUUUGAAAUGUGUCAUACCGGCACUAUAUGGUGUGUAAGGCUGGAUGGGUAUUGAAUACCUAUUGUAGUGUGUUGGGUUGGACGAAGAUGGCAUGUAGUGGAUGGGGGUAGGAAACUGAAUUUGAUUCUAAUUUGUUCCGUAUCUGAAAUUGGUGACUCUGCUAAACAUUUGUUCUAUUAAGCAGAACUAUACAUUCUCUGUUUCUGAUUAUGUAUAUAGUUGAGAAGUUACUUUUGAAAACAUAAUUCUACAAAUUGUAUUUUGAAUCCGUUUGUUGAGUUAGUUACUCAUUUUGACUAUUGAUUGAACUGUAGGUAGCCCAAGGUUUAUCAGGUCAGUGGAUUAGGAGCUCAGUUGUUCUACUUAUAUCUUUUACGUUAUUAGUAGUUUUAAUACGCUUUUCGUAAAUUUGAUUUCCUAGGAUGUUGAAUCGUGAAUUGAAAUUUAUGUUUGUUAAGUUCCUUUGAUUCAGAAUGGUUUUAAAAACAAAACAAAACUUUGGGAAUUCGUGUUUUGAGAAAUCAUUGAUAUAAUUCUUCAGACUUGACCUUAUCGUCUAGGUCGGGUAUGGGACGUUACAAAUUUGAAAUCCAUAAAGUUUUAUUUUUUAAUAUUGCAAUCCCUAAAGAUAAAUGCCCAUAAACCACAUUCGUUUUAUACUAAUAAGAAUUCUAAAUGAUAAUCAUAACUUAUAUUCGUAAUUAAAGAAAAGCCUGUAAUAGGCCGAAUUUUUCGGGCCCAUAAAAAACCAAAACCAAAAUAAAACAAAAAAAAACAAAAGUAGUAAAAGUCCACUGGUCCAAAAAGUCUAUUUACAACUUUUUUAAUCCAAAAAUAAAGGCCCAAAUAUUAAACCUAAUAAACCUACACCCAAAAUCCCAAAGUCCCCUAGUCCAAUUCACAAACGGCCCAAAGAGCCCAACAGCUUGAAAAUACCAGAAACCUAAAGGUUUCUAGAACACGCUAGUACUGCAAUCGGGCUUUCACGAGGGGUUUUCCCACGCACGGCUUCCACACCUCCGUACGACCGUUUCUCCACAAUUGCAAUAGAAUACACGGGAAGAAGCAGCUAACAGAAUACACAACAAAUGACAUAAGGAACAUAUAAUUUUUAUUUUUCAUAUAUUCUAUAAAUCUGGCUAUAAAAAGCCAUUAUCUGUACCUUGAAAAUACUACGCAUACUGAAAUACGAAAACUCAAUACAAAGAAUCAAGAAGGUGAUUUUAAGUUUUUUUUCUCUCCUCCUUCGUCUAUAAUAUUUUUGUUUCUUUUUGCAUCUAUUUUGCUUCGUAGAAUAAUCUCUUUUUUUUUUUAAAAAAAGGAAAUGAAAGAGGUUUAGCUAGAUGCAUCAACGAGAUCCUUGUUUCCUCCGUCGAAAUCAGAGUUUGAAAUGGGGAUUUCCGAGUGAAAGCAGUCAUUGAGUUUAGACUUUGAUCAAAAUAAGGAGCGUCUUUACAUCAUCCACCAAUUUUAAUGGUGAACUGAUGGUUGAAUUGCCGGAUUGGAUGGAGGAGGGCUGCUGUGCCGAAACCCUAGUAAUUGGGUAUUAGGUUUGUGGCUUGAAGAAAUGGCCAAUUGCCAUUCAAUGGCUUUUAAUUUUGAAACAAAAUGAAACGGUGCAGUUUAAGGGUAGGGAGAUCCGCACGUUGACCCAUUCCCAGACUCGGAUCUGUGCCUCUAUGCUUCAAAUGGGAAAUUGGCACGGUUAAUCCCUCCCUUUUGCGCCGCAUUUCAGUUGACCCGUAUUGGCAUCUUAUUUGUUUUUUAAAAUUUCCCCAAAAGUUUGUGUGCUAUUUCAUUUUAGUCCGCGUCUAGAUGCUGCGUUUUGGGGAUCUGGAAUAUUGCUAACUUUGGCCCCUGUACAUUUUUUUGCAUUGCAUGAUGGUCCUCUUUUUGAUUAUUUUAUUUGUAAAUUAUCCCUGCUAUUUUAAGUUUAUUUUAAUUAAGUCUUCUGUUUAUAUAAUUCGUUAUUUUUUAAGGAGAUUCACUUAAUUUUUUUUAUAAAAAAAACUACUUUAAUAUUUUUUACUUUGUUUAAAAGAAUCAUUAUUUUGAAGUUUUAUAUUAUAUUAUUUUAACAUUAUGUAAAAUAUUCUGUUUACAUAUUUUUAUAUACUUUUGCACAUAUAGUAUUUUAGUUGAGCUUUCUAUUUGGAAACAAUUAUAUUUUAAAAUCUAUCUAUAUAUAUCUGUUAAUAUAUUUUAAUUAUUUCGCUUUGUUUUUAUUUGUAUAAUUAUUUUGAAGUUUGUUUUAUCAUGUUAUUUUAACAUUUUUGUAUAAUAUCUCAUUUAAAUAUUUUUGUGUAUAUUUGUACAUAUAUUGUUUUCAUUGAGUUUUUAAUUUGUAAUGCCUAUUAUUUUAAAGUUCUAAAUAUUUUUAUAUAUGUAUUGAGCCAUCUUAAUAACUUUAUUUUGUUUUGUAAGAUCAUCGUUUUGAAAUUCUUUUUACAUUAAACUAUUUUAAUAUUUUUAUGAUAUUUUGUUGAAUGUUUUUGUAUACAUUGGUACAUAUGUUAGACCUAUAUACAUCACUAAAUUUAUGUAUUUUAUAUAUAUAGUUUUUUUUUGUAUACAUGAUUGUAUUUUUAAAAUUUGUUACAUAUAUAAUUUAUGGAAAAAUUAAUUUUAUAUACAUUAUUAAUCUCAUGCUAUUUUUUAUAAAUAAUUACUUCCAAAUCUAUUUAUAUAUAUGUUUUGUAAAUCUAUUAUGUGUACAAUUUAUCUUCUAAGAUUAUAUUUUAUUAUGUAUUUUUACUAUCCUUUCAUAUCUUACGUAUUAUUUAAGUUAUCUUUUAUUGUCUAUAUAUUGUCAAUUUCAAAUAAAUAUUUUCUUAACAUUUUGCAUAUUACUUAAUUCAAAUGUCUUCCCUCUACAACAUUUAUUUUAAUAAUUAUAUAUCCCUAGUUUUUAUGCAAAUUUAUCAACUCAUAUAUUAUGUAUAUUAUGUGUUCAUUAAUUCAUCAUUAUUUUAAAAUUGUCUUAUACCACAUUAACUUCUAAUUGGCAUUUUGUUUUGUACAUGUUUUGUAAAUUGUUUUAUAUUGUGCCAUAUCUAUUGUUGUUGUAUAUUAUUUAUUCAUUGUUUUAUUUGUUAUAUCAAUUGUUCUCCAUCCAUGCUUAAAAAUUUGAUUACAUUUUUCUCAGAUUCAUUGUAUUUAAUUGUUUGCUUAGGUAGUUGGUUAGAUAACGUUGUGUCAUCUUCAUUCAUCAAGUAUUGUACUUUAUGUGGGCAUAUUAUUAAUCCUUUUUUAUAUAUCCAAAUGUUGCUUUGUAAUGUCCAUUUUUUUAAAUAAUUAAUUAUUCCAUCUUAUUUUAAAACAAAUAAAUGUGUUUUGAGCUAAUUUCUAAUUUUCUUUAUCAUUCAAAGAUUCUAAAAUAAGAUAAUAUUUAAUAUUUAGAAAUUUCGAAAGUCGUGCCCUAUCGUGCUGGGUAUGAUUUUUCGUCAGACUAAAUAUUUGGAUAUCCUUUUAUAAUUUUUGGCGUAUUAGCUUUUGAAAGUCAAAAAUCAAUCGUAUUUUUGAAGGUAUAAAGGAUCGUGUCCAAUCGUGCUGGAUAUGAUGCUGUAUACCUUUAAAACGAGAGAAUUUUGACGGCUAACUUGAACUACUUAAGUGUUUUAAUAAGAAUCAUGUUUUAAAACUUCUUUUUUUUUUUUGAAUCUAGACAUAGGGAUAGCACUUAAUCAAUCUGGUACCAAUUUUUGGGCGUAUUGAGCGUGUUAACCUUUCCUCAUACGUAACCGGCUCUCGAACCGAUUUUUUUAUGUGGACCAAAAUUGAUUUAAAUGAUACAAAAUGAUUUAGUAGGUGACCCAAUCACACCCAAAUAAAAAGAUUGGUGGCGACUCCACAUUUUUUGUUUUAAAAGUCGAUUCCUGUUUUUCUUCAAAAAUAAAAAAAUGGUUUCGACAGCUUCAUGACUCCACUGGGGAUUGAACAAGAGAAUCAAGCUAUAAAAUUGAUUAUUUGCUGUCCUUUUGUCAAGGAAUUGAAAAUUUGUUUUAAAAAUCAUGUUUCUUUUGAUUGCAUUUGUUUGUAUGAUUGUUAUGGUUUGGGUCUUAUAGAAUAAUAUUUCAUUGUAUUGCAUGACCGCUGUGGUUAUAUCUGUUAAAUGAGAGUAAAAAACUAUGCUUUCGUGAGGUUUUCACCUCCACAUGGGCUAGUGGAUUGUUUUCGGGAUACAUCCGUACCUAUGAUUUCGUGAGAUUUUUAUCUCUGCAUGGUCAUAGGAAAAUGUAUUCCCCUGAACCGAACUCGAUCCAUAUCAGCCUAUAGUGGGUGAGGAUUGAGGAAUCUGCUAGUUCAGGUAUCUUCUCUUUAGAACUGAGCCACAUAUAGUGAACCUUAAGAGCUAUCCUUAGGUAGAGCCGUGUUAAGCCUUAGUAAUUGCCUAUAUAUAUGUUUUGAUUAUCUUUGUUGUGCUUGUAUUUUAUCACUUAUAUUUGAUACUAACUUGUGUUGUUUUGUUUUGAUUGUGUUUUGCAUAACAUUGCAUACUAAAGGAGGUGUUGGUUCUUAUUCGAUUACUAAGUUAGAAGAUUUAACAUGGAGAAUGAAUUUCUUAAUAAAGUUGAGGAUAAUGCGGUCGUCCGCGCAUGGUCAGAGAAGUUACAAUCGGAGAAGGGGGAUAGCCUGGCAGAAGGAUAUACAUUAGAGUUGUAGAAAUUCACUCGCAUCAAUGUAACGCAGAAUGAGUUGCAAGAGUUGAAAGACAUAUGGGCUCGUUGGAAUGAGGGAACCAAAUAGCUGUUCUAUUAUAGCUAUGGUGAUAUACCUUACUUGUUCGAUGUUAAGGUGGACAAGCAUUUGUUCCGAGGUAUGGCUCAAUUUUGGAAUUCUGCUUAUAAUUGUUUCACUUUUGGGGAAGUGGAUUUGGUGCCUACCUUGGAGGAAUAUACUACCCUGUUGAGGAGUCCAAAAGUUCAAGUCAGAAAAGCUUAUGCUAAGGUUUUUAAUGGUCAAACUUUUGCGAAGAAAUUGAUGAAUAUUUCGGGGAUGAGCGAGCCUUGGGUCAUUGCUCGAAUUCAACAAAAGGAGGAUAGUAAAUGUAUUCCUUGGGAGAAUUUGAGAGAUUUGGUUUUGACACAUCCGGAUGAAAAGAAGAGGGUCGAUAUCUUUGCCUUAAGCAUCUAUGGAUUGGUGAUUUUUCCCAAGGCUUUAAGGCAUGUGAAUGAGGCAGUCACUGACCUGUUCGAUUGUCUUGAGAAGGGAAUCACACCUGUACCUGCAAUAUUGGCUGAUGUUCAGAUCCUUGAGCAUGUGUCAGAGGACAGGCGAUGGUCAAUUUAUUGGAUGUGAACAGCUGUUGAUAGUGUGGUUUCAUGGGCAUUUUUGGAAAGUGAACAAGGUUUCUUAUCGGGUUUUCUCUGAAAGUUAUUCCCCAUUAAAGGAGGAGAUAGCUAUGCAAAGGAGAGAUGAUAUUCAGAGGAAAAAUGGAUGAAAAUUCUUCAAAAUCUAAAAGAGGAGGAUAUAGAGUGGAGAGCUUUUUGGAUGGUUCCUGAUGAGAUCCUGUAUCGAUGUGGGAACUUUGAUUGGGUACCAUUAUCAGGAAUUUGGGGAGCUACGGGAUAUACUCCUUUGUUUGCAUUAAAGUAGUAUAAAUUGAGGCAGUUCAUACCUAUAACUCAUGGGCUUGCUCAGUGUGAAUUCCCAUAUAAAGGUGACCAUUAUAAGAAGAAGGUUCGGGAAAUAUCUGAGGCUUGGAAGCAAACUCGUUGGAUGAAGAGGUUGACUGUUGGUUUUAUGACAACACCUGAGUACCAUGGAUGGUCUAGGAAAAGGGUCAAUGAUAAUAUUAAUAGACCAAGCUUGGAACAUACCCGACCAGUGGAGGAACAAUUACAAGUUGCCCCGUCAGAGUUGGAAAUUAUAAAGUAAGACUUUGAGAAGAAAAGUUUUGAGCUUGAGAAAAAGAUUGAGUAGUUAGAGGAAGAAAAGAUACAUCUGAGAUUAGAUGGGAGGUUUAGAAGUCAGAGGUAGAAAAGUUACGGAAAAGGAAGAAUGAAGUCGAGGAGGAUUUGGAAGGUUUAAAGACAGAUUAUAAAAAGUUACGCCUGUCAAUGAGGACUGCUGGGUUAGGUAAAACUUCAGAGCAAUGGCGUCAGGAAAUUCGAGAAGAAAAGACUAAGGCUGAUCAAUGGGAGAAGAGAUUCCAAGAGGCUCGAGCUCAGAAUGAGGCAUUGGAGAAAAGUUUGUCAGAGAGUAAAAAUGAACAAGACGAAUUAAGGGCUAGAGUAGUGAAACUUGAGAGAUCUCUAUGUCUGUACCGGAAUCGUAAUUCUGUGAUGGAGUUAAGAGUAAGCUUAAGCAAGAUCGAAGAGAUGAAUGGGAAAAUAGAAGAAUUAGAGACGGCACUGCAAAUUUGUAAAAUGAGGAUCGAGUUCUUGGAGGCAAAUGAGGAACAAUGGAAGAUUCAGCUUCACCACUCUCAAGAUCAAAUUAGAAGUAGGAAUUACAUUAUGGGAGAAGCUGUAACACAAAUUCGAGAAGUAGCUGAUUACUUGCAGUCUUCGGCAGUACAAGCAGACGUAUUAAAUGUGAAGUAUGAGUUGGAGUCAGAUAAGGGACAAGAACUAGUUUCAUUUCUUAGGAAAAUUAAGGCUCUGAGCGCUUGGGCGAAGUCUUAUUUGUAACUCAGUUUUAUGUAAAGAAUUUUGUUUUCUAGUAAAGUUUUCUAAAUGGAAUUGAAUCAGAAUUGAUGCAUCCUUUGCAUUCAUGCAUUUGCAUUACAUUACAUCAUAUGCAUUAAAGGCUAUAAUUACAUCAUAUGCAUUAAAGGCUAUAACAAGAUUCUAAUUAAUUAAAAAUUAUUUCAGUAAUCUGGAAACCAACAAAAACACACCAAAUACGCAUCCCUACGGUACAAGGAAAAAGACUAAGUCAAUGGACAAAAGACUUGAAAAGUUAGAGCAAAUGCAAAGGGAUAUGCAAGAACAAAUGCAUUCACAGAUGCAAGAGUAGCUUGUUAAGAUUCAAUAAGAGAUGAAAGAUCAAAUGAUGGAGUCCCAAAGACAGAUGAUGAGUCAGUUGUCCCAAUUACUGAUAGGAAGAAUGGAUAAGGGAAAAGGUCCUAUGGAUAAUGUUGGGGAAAAUAAUGAAGACCCUCAAUAUCCUCCUGGCUUCACUCCUACACAUGUACAGACACAACCUGAGAUUAAUUUGCAGAAACCAUCUGUUACGAUCAGGCCUCAGCAGUUUCAGGCUGGAGUAUCAAUACCAAUGAAUUUUCAAACUGGUUCAAGUUUUAAUCCUAGUAACAACUCGAAUAAUCCAAUGGUCCCUGAUUUGGAUGAGGUUGCGAAAGAGGAAAGAACAAGGGCAGAGUCACAAAAACAGCUAGAAGAACGGUGUAAAUGGCUGAAGGAAAAGGUCAGGGUAAUGGAAGGCAUGGAUAGAUAUCCUGGAAUUGAUGCAAAGGAUCUGAGUUUGGUCCCAGAUUUAGUACUUCCAUAUAAUUUCAAGAUGCCAGAAUUUGAGAAGUACAAUGGAACGAGCUGUCCAGAAGCUCAUAUUACCAUGUUUUGCAGAAGAAUGACUGAGUAUGUUAAUAACGAUUAAUUGUUGAUUCAUUGCUUCCAAGACAGUUUGGUGGGAGUAGCUGCUAAAUGGUACAAUCAGUUAAGUCGAAGCAGAAUUAGUUCAUGGAGAGAUCUAACACAGGAGUUCAUGAAGCAGUACAGUCAUAUAACAAAUAUAACUCCUGAUAGAAUUACUUUACAGAAUAUAGAGAAGAAACCAAACGAAAGUUUUAAGCAGUAUGCACAAAGAUGGAGGAAAUGACCAUUCAAAUUCAGCCGUCGCUCUUGGAGAAGGAAACUACAAUGUUCUUUAUUAAUACCUUAAAAGCUCCGUUCAUAACUCACAUGUUAGGAAGUUCCACAAGGAGCUUUGCGGAUGUGGUCUUGAUAGGAGAAAUGAUUGAGAAUGCCAUAAGAAAUGGAAGGAUAGAUGCAGGAGAAUGUGCUAAAAGGUCUGUGCCAUGGAAAAAGGAGAAUGAGGUGAACAAUGCAAACAUGGGGUAUUCAAAGUCUGUUACUGUAAGUCAACCAAAAGGGGUAACUGCUGGUCAGGGUUCAUCAAGGCAGGAAUCUGGAGCAAGGAAAAAUAUUGAGAAGCUUCAAUUUACACCAAUCCCCAUGACGUAUAAUGAGUUAUAUCAAAGUUUGUUCGAUGUACAUGUAGUGGCACCUUUUUGUCUAAACCCGUUACAGCCUCCGUUCCCUAAAUGGUAUGGUACCAAUGCUCAAUUUGAGUAUCAUGCAGGGAUCGUAGGGCAUUCAAUAGAAAAUUGUACUACCUUUAAGAAGUUGGUUGAGAGAUUUAUUCAAAUAGGCAUUGUGAAGUUUGAUAAUACCCCUAGUGCAGAGAAUCCGUUACCUAAUCAUACUGAUGGUGGGGUAAACGUGAUAGAUGGAAGUAUGGGAAAAAGAGUCAAGAUGGAUUUAUGGAAGUAAAAACUCCUUUGAAAUGGGUCUGGAAAGAUAUGGUAAAAAAUGGGUUAGUUAUGAUGAAUUCAGAAAUAAGUGGUGAUAAAAUAAAGAAUUAUUGUGAGUUCCACUAUGAAGAGGGACAUAAAAUUUAGGAAUACGAAGAGUUCAGAGCUGUUAUCCAAGGCCUGAUGGACAACAAGGAAAUAUAGUUUUAUGAAGUGGUUAAGGAGGAGGAAUAUAUAUGCGCCUCUGAAUCUACGUUAAGCCCAAAAGUCAAUUAUCCUGUGGUUAUUAUUACAUGUCCUAAGAAUGAAGCAAGAAUUCAGAUGACACCAAAGAUUAUAAUUCAGAAGCCAACAGUUUUCUCUUACAAGGAUAACAAAAGGGUCCUUUGGAACUAUGAUUACAAUGUAACAGUAUCGGGAAAGGAAAGUUCAGUCAGCCCGUUAAAAGAAGAUCAAAAUAUAGGUUCUCACACGCACAGUGGAAGACGAUAUGAUUUGACAAAUACCCGAACAGAACUUGUAAAAGGAAGAGAUGUGAUGGUCGAACAAAAGAAGGGAAAAGCGGUGUAACCUGGAGUGCCCGUUAAUGAACCGGUGAAAGAAGAAGAAGCUAAAGAAUUCCUGAAAUUUUUGAAGCAUAGUGAGUACAGUGUGGUAGAACAGUUGCAUAAACAACCAGCCCGCAUAUCUAUAUUAGCUUUGCUCUUGAGUUCAGAGGUACAUCGGAGCGCGUUAAUGAAGGUGCCAAACGAGACAUAUGUAACCAAUGAUAUUUCCGUCAACAAGUUGGAUCGAUUGGUGAAUAAUAUAAGUGCUGAUAGUUUCAUUUUCUUCAAUGAUGAUGAGAUACCACCAGGAGGAAUGGGAUCUACCAAAGCUUUGCAUAUAACUACCAGAUGUAAAGGAUACACGUUACCAGGGGUCUUUGUAAAUAAUGGGUCAGCACUGAAUGUAUUGCCCUUGUCCAUACUAAAUAGGUUACCUGUGGAUAGCUCACACAUGAAAGGAUGUCAGAACAUAGUGCGAGCAUUUGAUGGCACAGAGAUGAGAGUUAUGGGGAGAAUAGAAAUACCUUUGUUGAUUGGCCCAACCACAUAUGAGGUAGAUUUCUUAGUGAUGGAUAUUAAGCCUUCUUACAAUUGCUUGUUAAAAAGGCCUUGGAUACAUUCAGUAGGGGCAGUUCCUUCAUCAUUACAUCAAAAUUUAAAGCUAGUAUCAAAAGGACGGUUGGUAACAAUAAAUGCUGAAGAGGACAUUAUUGCAGUUGUAAGCAGUGACGCACUAUAUUUAGAGACAGAUAAUGAAGCUAUUGAAUGUUUUUUUCGAUCUUUGGAGUUUGUGAAUGCAAUAUUCAUCACUGAGGGAAGUAGAAUUCUGGAGUAAAAAAUGUCAAAAACUACGAUGAUGGGUUUACAGUUGAUGGUAGGACAUGGAGCUUUACCAGGAAAGGGAUUGAGGAGAUGUCUCUAGGGAAGAAUUGAGGUUCCAAUGCUAAAAGACAAGUAUGAUCGCUUUGGUUUGGGGUUCAAGCCAGAUACAAGACAAAGGAAAAGGAAAUUGGAAAGAAGGCAAGAAAGAAGAAGAGCACGUGUGAGUGGUGGAGAAAUUAAGUGGGAGCCCAUGAUAAUUCCUCACAUCUCCAGGUCUUUUGUAUCGGGAGGCAUUAUUUAUUCUGAACAAGGGAUGCCAGAGAAAGAAAGCAUGGAAAAAGCAUUGGGAAAUAUGUAUAUCAAUGCCAUUUUUGAAGAGACAAUUGAAGAGAGGAUUUCGUCAGAUAUUUGUCCAUAUGAGCCUGGGAGUGUUCUAGAUAAUUGGACUGCAGAAGACCUUCCUAUAGUUUUUAGAGCUUAUUCAGAGUAAUGUUCGAAACAAACUUGUUAUUUUUAGCCUAGAGGCAACAAGGAUUUCUUUGUGAAAUAGGCUCAUGUUCAAACAUCAUUAUUUUAAUGAAGUACAUUAUUGGCUAUCAUUUUGAGCAAACAUUCUUUUAUUCUUUUCAUAAGAAAUUGUGUUAUUUUUUUUCAUUUUAAAUAAUUAUCCUGAUUCUUUCUUCAAUCAUUCUUUCAUUUCAUUCAUAAACAUACCAUACAAAAUAAUAAUUAUCAAAUUCAUUCAUUCCUUGUAUAUUUUUGUACCUAUAAUAGGUCCCUGGAUAUUAAUAUCAUGAGUGACGCUGUUACUGACUUAGAAUCACUAUUUGAACAAGACGUGUUUAGAGGGAGCUCAGGACUUUGAAGAUGACAGAGACUAUGAUUUAUCUCCAGAUUUGUUAAGGAUGGUAGAACAAGAGGAAAAAAAAUUUUCACCUCAUAAAGAAGUAGUGGACAUGGUGACUUUAGAAGAGGGGAAGGUUGUAAAAAUUAGAACAUGCAUAACUGAAGAAACAAAGCGAAACCUGGCUGGGUUGCUUCAGGAAUUCAAAGAUGUUUUUGUAUAGUCAUACCAGGAUAUGCCCGGUUUAAGCACUGAUAUUGUAGUACAUUGCCUUCCCAUAAAAGAAGAUUGCAAGCUAGUACAGUAGAAACUUCGAAGAAUGAGACCAGAUAUUGUCUUAAAGAUAAAGGAGGAAGUCAAAAAGCAAUUUGAUGCUGAAUUUCUUCAGGUGAUCAAAUAAUCAGAAUGGAUAGCCAACGUUGUGCAUGUUCCUAAGAAGGACGAAAAGGUGAGAAUGUGUGUGGAUUAUAGAGAUCUAAAUAAGGCUAGCCCAAAGGAUAAUUUCCCAUUGCCUCACAUUGAUACGCUAGUGGACAAUAUGGCUGGCUACUCGUUAUUUUCCUUCAUGGAUGGUUUCUCGAGGUAUAAUCAGAUUAAGAUGUAUCCUGAGGACAUGGGAAAGACUACUUUCAUAACCUUAUGGGGCACGUUCUGUUACAAGGUGAUGCCGUUCGGAUUAAAGAAUGCUGGAGCAACAUAUCAAAGGGCCAUGGUAACCUUAUUUCAUAAUAUGAUGCACAAGAAGAUUGAAGUUUAUGUUGACGAUAUGAUAGCCAAAUCUCGAACUGAAAAGGAACACAUCCAAGUGUUGAGAAAGUUGUUAUUGAGAAAAUUUCAGUUAAAUCUUAAUCCAACCAAGUGUACUUUUGGGGAUAGAUCUGAAAAGCUAUUGGGCUUUGUAGUUAGUGAGAGAGGAAUUGAGAUUGAUUCAAACAAAGUUCGGGCUAUACAAGAGUUGUCUCUACUGUGCACUCAAAAAGAGGUUUGAGGCUUCCUGGGAAGACUAAAUUACAUUACUCAGUUUAUUUCUCAAUUAGCAGAGAAAUACGACCCCAUAUUUCAUUUUCUUAAAAAGCAUAACCCAGGAGAAUAGGAUGAUGAAUGCCAGAGAGCUUUUGAUAAAGUUAAAAGAUAUUUGUCGAGUCCUCCAGUGUUAUCACCUCCAAGUUCAGACAGGCCGUUGAUACUGUAUUUAACCGUGUUUGGCAAUUCUAUUGGAUGUGUGCUUGGUCAACACGAUGAAUCAGGAAGAAAAAAAAAGGGCAAUAUAUUACCUCAGUAAGAAAUUCACUGAGUGUGAAUUAAGAUAUUUACCAAUUGAAAAAUUGUGUUGUGCUCUAAUUUGGACAGCACGAAGGUUGAGGCAAUAUAUGUUGUACCAUACAACUUGGUUAAUCUCAAAGUUAGAUCCUCUAAAGUAUAUGAUGGAGUCAAAUGCCUUGAAUGGAAGGAUGGCUAGGUGACAAAUUUUGCUUUCUGAAUUUGACAAAAUCUACGUGAGCCAAAAAGCCAUGAAAGGGAGCGCAAUAGCAGAUUUUCUGGCCAGUUGAGCUUUAGAAGAUUAUGAGCCAUUAAAUUUUGAUUUCCCCAAUGAGGAGAUAGUGUAUGUGGCAGCUGUCGAAGAGGACACUACAAAAGGUCACCCUUGGAAAUUAAAUUUUGACGGAGCCUCAAACGCAGUGGGUAAUGAGGUUGGAGCAGUUCUGGUAUCUCCAGGUGGAGAUCAUUAUUCAUUCACAUGUAAAUUGGAUUUUGAUUGUAUGAAUAAUAUGACAGAAUAUGAAGCAUGUAUCACGGGGCUCCGAGCAGCCAUAGAGCACAAGAUCAAGUCACUAGAAGUAUAUGGAGAUUCUGCACUGGUAAUUUACCAACUUCGAGGCGAAUGGGAGACAAGGGAUUCCAAAUUAAUCAAUUAUAGAAGGUUGGUGUUAGGGUUAGUUGAAGAGUUUGAUGAUAUUACUUUCAAUUAUCUCCCGCAUGAUGAAAACCAAAUGGCAGAUGCUUUGGCUACUUUGGCUUUCGUGAUCAAAGUAAGCAGACAAGAAGAUAUGAAACCCAUUCAGAUGAGUAUUUGUGAAGCCCCGUCUUAUUGUUAUAAUAUAAAGAAAGAAGAGAGAGAUCAUCAUCCUUGGUAUCAGGAUAUAUUACGAUACGUAAGAAAUCGUGAAUAUCUAGAUCAAGCAACGGAGAAUGACAAAAGGAUGUUGAGAAGGCUAGCUUGUGAUUAUGUCUUAGAUGGGGAGAUCUUGUACAAAAGAAGAAAUGAUCAAGUACUUUUGAGAUGUGUAGAUGCUGUGGAGACCAAGAAAAUCUUGGAGGAAGUUCACGAAGGCGUUUGUGGAAUACACGCUAACGGGUUCACAAUGGCUAGACAAAUUAUGAGGUUUGGAUAUUAUUGGACAACUAUGGAGGGAGACUGUAUCAAUUAUGCUAAGAGAUGUCACAAAUGUCAAAUUUAUGGAGACAAGAUUCAUGUACUUCCCUCGCCUUUGUAUGUUAUAACUUCCCUAUGGCCAUUUUCCAUGUGGGGCAUGGAUGUCAUAGGUCCAAUCUCACGGCAUCGUUUUAUCUUUGUGGUCAUUGAUUAUUUUACCAAGUUAGUGAAAGCUGCUUCAUAUGCCAAUGUAACUAAAUCGGUAGUCAGCAGAUUUUUGAAGAGGAAAUUAUAUGUCGAUAUGGGAUGCCUGAGAAGAUCAUAUCUGAUAAUGCAUUAAACUUGAACAACAGCGCAAUAGCAGAGGUUUGCAGUCAGUUUAAGAUCAGACACCAUAAUUCAUCACCAUAUCGCCCAAAAAUGAAUGGGACAGUGGAAGCAGCCAAUAAAAAUAUCAAGAAGAUUGUGGGAAAAAUGACCGAAACUUGUAGAGAUUGGCAUGAGAAGUUGUCAUUUGCUCUUUAUGCUUAUCGAACGUCUGUCAGAACUUCUACUGGGGCAACGCCCUUCUCGUUAGUUUAUAGAAUGGAAGUUGUUCUACCUAUUGAGGUGGAGAUACCUUCUCUGCAAGUUUUGUCAGAAUUAAAAUUAGAUGAAGCAGAAUGGAUAUAGUCUCGAUAUGAUCAGUUGAAUUUGAUUGAGGAAAAGGGGCUAAAAACUAUCCAGCAUGGCCAGAUAAAUCAAAAAAGAAUGAUGUGGGCUUACGACAAGAAGGUUCGCCCAAGAGAAUUUCAUGAGGGAGAUUUGGUUCUGAAAAAGAUUCUUCCUAUACAAAAGGAUUUCAGAGGAAAAUGGAUGCCAAAUUGGAAGAGGCCUUAUGUGGUAAAGAAAGCUUUCUCCGGAGGAGCAUUAAUCCUGGUUGAAAUGGAUGGAAAAAAACUUGUCUAAUCCAGUAAACUCGGAUUCAGUCAAAAAGUAUUACACUUAAUGAGGGGAAGAAGCCAAAGUGAAAACCUGCAAAGGGCGCUUUGAGAUUUUCUUAAAAAAAAGCCAAAGUGAAAACUCGUAAAGGGUGCUUUGAGACCCAAUAAAAAUAGAAAAGAUAAAGGGCCAAAGUGAAAACCCACAAAGGGCACUUUGAGACUCAAUAUAAAAAAAAAGAAAAAGAAAAAGAAAAAAGAAAGAGAAAGGAAAGGCCAAGGUGAAAGCCCGCAAAGGGCGCUUUGAGACCAAAGGGGAUUUGAGUUGAAAACCCGAAAAGGGAGGCUCAAAUGUUGAUCUAAAAUGGGGAAGGCGAUGAUCUUGCUAUACUUGAAUUAACAGGGAAAGGGUAUGUUACAUCUUGGGGCAUUCACAAAGUACUUCUGAUCUCCUAAACACAUGUCAAGUUUGAAUUGGUCUUCAAGAAGUUCGUACAGAGAAGCUCAGGUUGCGAUAUCAGGGGUACCUAGGCUUCAUUUUAUUUCCAAUAAAUUGGCUAUCUUUGAAUUAACCUUUUUUUUCAAGAUAUACAGUCUUAAAUCAAUGGCCAUUGUUGUUCUUUUAAUGAUUUAUUCACUUUGAGCUCAAGUGCAAUUCCAUUCUUAUCUAUUAUUACGAUUUGAUUGCAAGCAUGUUGCAUUGACAUAAUGAUGAAUGAACUAGUAAUGUUCUCACAAUAGAAGUUUUGCAUAUUACUCUAGGAGUUUCUAGAUAAUGCAAGAAUCUGAAGUGGAACUAUUGUUUGGAAUGCACCAAAGUUCAAGGACAUACUUGAAUAAAUUGCCUUUUUAGAUUUUUAAGCAAAAGAUCAAGAUAUGGCGUUGGUGAUACAAUUUUGAAAAAUGAUCAAUACAAAAAGAAAUUAUUCUCGAGAAAGGGGAAAUUAUAUUUUGUAUCCUUGCAAAUAUCAAACGUGCACAACUGGCUAUGACACCUGAGGAGUGAGGUAGCAGAUCGAACAGAUGAAAGUUCAAAUAUGGGUUUCAAUUUUUUUGUCUCAGAACGAAUAGUAGAAGGGACGUUGGAAUUACAGUAGGGCAAGCUUGCUGAGCAGAAUAUGAUUGUUGUUUUGUUGAGAUGAUAGUUGAGAGAAUACGUCAACGAUAACAUACUGAUGAACAAUGAGUGAUGAUGCCUUAAAUUUUAAAAUGGAAUCAUUCUCAUUUCUACAUAUAUCAUACCACAUUUAGUUAGGAGCAUUGGAUUCAUUUCUAUCAUAUCAUCCUAAUUAUUUGGUAUAAACAUGCGCAUAUAAAAUGGAGUCUACAGGACAUGUUCCCCAUAGGACAGUGUAGCAACAUUGGUGAAGUCAGAUCUUAUCUCUCUGAAGUUGCAGCAGAGUAAAUCAAAGAUGGUGAAUCUUAUCUCCAUGUAUCGACAAUGGAACAGAUUUAAGCCGCCAGCCCUAUCUCUCUGAGGUAGCAAGAGAGCAGGUUGAAGAAUGAGUCUUAUCUUUCUAAGGUAGCAAGAAAGCAGACUGAAGAUUAAAGAUCUUAUCUCUCUAAAAUUGUAGCGGAGCAGAUCGAAGAUUAGAUUUGAGCCACUAGCCUUAUCUCUUUGAGGUAGCAAGAGAUCAGGUUAAAGAACGAGUCUUAUCUUCCUGAGGUAGUAAGGAAGUAGACUGAAGAUUGAAGAUUUUAUCUCCCUAAGCAGUAGUGGAGCAGAUCGAAAGAUUAAGAAUUUUAUCUCCAUGUAUCGGCAAUGGAACAGAUUGUAGUCACUAGCCUUACCUCCCUGAAGGUGCAGUGGAGCAAGUUUAAUAUACGAGUCUUAUCUUCCUGAGGUAGUAAGGAAGUAGACUAAAGAUUGAAGAUCUUAUCUCCCUAAGCAGUAGUGGAGUAAAUCAAAGUUGGUGAAUCUUAUCUCCAUGUAUCGGUAAUGGAGCAGAUUCUUGCCACUAGCCUUAUCUCUCUGAGGUAGCAAGAGAGUAGGUUGAAGAUAUUGGUAUUAUCUUCUUGAGGUAGCAAGGAAGCAGACUGAAGAUUGAGGAUCCUAUUUCCCUUAAGCAGCUAUGGAGCACGUCAAAGACAACAAAUUUUAUCUCCAUGUAUCGGCAAUGGAGCAGAUUUAAGUCACCAGCCUUGUUUCUCUGAAGUUGCAAUGGAAAAGGUUGAGAUUACCAAAAAGUUCCAGCGAUGAAUUGGAACAAGGCAAUGUGAAGAAAAGAAGGGACAAAAGGUCAAAGAUGCAGUAAGACCUGGGCAAAAUUGGUCCUUUUAAGGUCUUUGCUUCAUCCUUGUUACACGACAAUGAGCAAAGAGGGGCAGCUGUAGUAGGCCCAAUUCGCCCUGCCCGCAAUAAAACCAGAGAAAUAAAUUAAAAAUAAAAAAAUUAAAAUAAGCCAGUGUCUAUUUACAAAACCCAAAACUAAUAAAACAAAAAAAUAAAGAAAAAACCUAAUACAAUAAAAGUUCAUUAGACUAAAAUAGCCCACCCAAUUGAAUAAACCUUAGACCCAAUUCUAAAAGCCCAAACCUGAGGCCCAACAGGAGACAAAGAGAAGCUUAGCAGCCGAGAACACCAGAAGCUUCUGGAAUAUGCUAGAACAGCUCUAGAAGGUCGUGCUCCCACGAGCAGUUUCCCCGCAUGGCCUCCUUCAAGCGCGCCUCUCCCCGCUCCUCCGUACGGCCGUUCCUGCAAAAGAACACACGAGAAGAAAUAGAAUAAAAGAAUACACAAAUGACAGCAGGAAAAUAUUUUUAUUUUUCGCUAUUUACUCUGUAAAUUUGGGCUAUAAAAAGGCCUCGCUUGUACUAUGUAAUCUUACGCACGCAUACUACACACACUGAAAUACAUACGAAAUAUCAGAAAAGAGCAGUCAUAAAGUUAUCCAAAGGUGAUCCAAAAAUCUCUUUAUUUCUUUUUGUUUCUUUCAAUUUGCUCGCAAUAUUACCAUGAAAAAAUGAAAAUACUUGAAUCGGCACCGAUGAACGCCCAUAUAUCUCGAAAAUAUAGAGAUUCGGGGCGAGGGUCGAAUGUUUUUUUUUUCUUUUGAAUUUCUGCUUUGUUUUUAGAGAGAAUAAUACAUUAUUUGAGUUUUUUUUCAAAGAAGAAAGGAAGAAGGAUUAACUUACCAGAUUUCCAUGGGUGACCUUUGUUGGCAAGAUCGAAUCUCUGCUCACACACCGUCGACCAUCAAAUUAAAUGGUGGGUUCGGCGGCUGCUAAAUGAAGCCCUAGCAGAUUGAUUUUAGGUUAUAGAUGUUUGUUAAAAGGUGGGCUGCAAUUGGAAAAGAAAAUAGGAGAAAAGGAGCAAAAAUGAUGGUUUAAGGGCUGAGUUAAAAACGGCGCCGUUCCAAAAGGGUAAGAUCCGCGCGCUGACCCGCUUAGCAGGCCGGAUCCGCGUACCUUUACUUAAAUUGGGGAAUUUGUGUGCAUGGCCCUUCUCAUUCGCACUGAUUUUGAAUUAGGCCCUAUUCAUACUUUAUUUGUUUUUAAAUUGCACCUGGAAUUAGGAUAUCGCAUCAAUUCAACCCGCGCUUAAGCGCUGCGUUUUGGGACUAGAAUUAUUUCCAGCUUUAGUCCCUUGGCAUUUGUGCGCAUUGUGUGUUAGUCCUCAGUUCAAUUUCAAAAAUUUAUACAUUAUCCCCAUUCAUUUUAAAUUUAUUUUAAUUAGGUUUUCUAUUUGUAUAACUCAUUAUUUUUUAGGAAAUUCAUUUAAUUUUUUUAUGUAUUGAAAAUACUUUAAUAAUUUUACUCUGUUUAAAAGUUUGUAUUAUAUUAUUUUAACAUUAUGUAUAAAAUUUUAUUUAAACAUUUAUAUAUGUAUAUACCUAUGCAUACCUAGUGUUUUAAUUAAGCUUUCUAUUUGAAACACUUAUUAUUUUAAAAUUCAUUUAAUAUUUUUAUAUGUGUUAAUCUAUUUUAUUAAUUUUUUUUGUUUUUUAUUUGUAUAAUUAUUUUAAGAUUGGUUUUAUCAUAUUAUUUUAACAUUUUAUAUAAUGUCUCAUUUAAAUAUUUUUGCGAAUAUUUGUACAUAUAUUAUUUUAAUGGAGUUUUCUAUUUAAAAUACCUAUUUUUUUAAAAUUCAUUUAAUAUUUUUAUGUAUAUGUAAAGUUAUUUUAGGGACUUCAUUUUUGUGUUUAUAAGAUUAUUAUUUUGAAAUUCUUCUCUAUAUCAUAUUAUUUUAAUAUAUUAUAUAGUAUCUCAUUUAAAUACUUUUAUAUAUAUUUGUACAUAUAUAGCAAAAUUAAUUUAAUCUUGUAUGCAUUAUUUAUUCCAUGUUAUUUUUACAAAUAAUUAUUUCUAAAUUUAUUUAGAUAUAUAUAUGAUUUGUAAAUCUAUUAUGCGUAUAGUUUAAUGCCCAAGGUUAUAUCUUAUUAUGUAUUCUUGCUAUCCUUUUAUAUUUAUAUAUUAUUAAAUUUUCCUUUAUUGUAUCUAUUUUAACAAAUGUUUUUAACUUUGUAUAUUAUUUGAUUUAAAAAUCUUCAUGCUAUAAAACAUAUUUUAAUGAUUACAUAUAUAUCUUUAGUUUGUUUUUUACAAAUAGUUUUAAAUUCAUCAACUCAUCAAUUCAUAUAUUAUAUAUUAUGUGUUUAUCAUCAUUUUAAAUUUAUCUUAUACCAUAGUGGUUUUUUUAAUUUUCAUUUUGUUUUGUAUAUUUUGAAUGGAUUGUAUUAGGCUAUAUAUCAUUGUUGUACUAUUUCUUUCAUUUUUAUUAUUAUAUUAAUUGUCCUUCAUCCAUCACUACAGGAAAAUAGGGCUUUAGCGGUGUUUUUAGCGGAGUUUGGACAAAAAACGCCGCAAAUAUUAUACAUUAGCAGCGUUUACGAUAAAACGCCGCAAAAAACUGAGCAAUAGCGGCGUUUUUGGUUCAAACGCCGCUAAAAGUUGAGCAAUAGCGGUGUUUUUGGCCCAAACGCCGCUAAAAAUUGAACAAUAGCGGCGCCUUUGGAAAAACGCCACUAUAGAUCGAGGUUUUAGCGGUGCUUUUUGGAAAAACGCCGCUAUUGCUCAGUUUUUAGCGGCGCUUUUGGAAAAACGCCGCAAAAAACAUUUCAUCUGUCUAUUUAUAAUUUAACUGGUUUAUUUAUAUUAAAAUACAAUUUAUUUUUAAUUGAAUAUUUAAAUUCUUCAGAAAAAUAAUGACAAGUAAAAAAAUUUUGAAAGUAAAAAUAUAGAAAAAUAUUUGUUAAAAAUAUUUUAAUUGAAUACUAUUUUAAAGUUUAUGUAUUAUGGGUUUAGGGGUUAUGGUUUAAGGGUUGAGGUUUAGGGGUUAAGGGUUUAUAUUUUAGGAUUUAAGGUUUAUGGUUUAGGGAUUAGGGAUUAGGAGUUUAGAGUUUAGAUUAAUUAAUUAAUUAAUUAUGAUUAUGGUCACAUAAAAUUACAAUAAUUAUUAAAAAUUAUGGUUAUACAAUAUAUUAAAUAUUUUCUUAUAUAAUCGUAAAAGAGAUAAUAUUGAAUUUAAAAUAUUGAAUUAAUUAUCAUUGUAGGAGUUAAUUAGUAUUUGAAGGUUUAUGAUGAAUUAUGGGUUUAGGGAUUAUGGUUUAGGGUUUAGGGUUUAUGGUUUAGGGUUUAGGGUUAGAGUUUAAGGUGUAAGGGUUAGGGGCUAAGGGUUUAGAGUUUAGUGUUUACAAGAUAGGGGUUAAAGGUUUAGGGUUUAGAUUAAUUAGUAUUUUUUAAUUUAUAUAUUAAACGUUUUCUUAUAUAAUUGUAAAAGUGAUAAUAUUAAUUUGAAUAUAUUAAAAUUAUGAUUAUAGUUUAAAUUAUUUAAGAGAUAAUAGAUAAAAUUUAUAUAUAUUAAAUGGUUUAAGAUUUAAUCUAAAAAUAUUUUGAUAUAUUAAAAAUAAUUCAAUUCAAAUUAAUUCCUCUACACUUAAUAUUUUCAAUUUUAUCUUUUGUACUUUUCAAAAUUUAAAAUUUUAGUCAUGAUCACUCAAAUGAUAGCAAUUAUAUAUGUUUGGUUAAAUUCUGCUAUUAGUCUUGGUAUUGUGUUUAAAAUUGUAGGUUGAGUUCAUGUUAUCCAAUUAGAUCAUUCUUGGUCCUUAUACUUUUCGAAUUUUGAAAUUUUAAUUUUGUCACAAAUGACAACCGUUGAAUCCGUAACUGGCUUUUUGUGAGUGAUAUGUUUGUUACAUUAGAUUUUAGAAAUAGCAAAACUUAAUGAAUUUAAUAGCUACCAUUUAAUUAAUACUAUAAUUUCAAAAUUCGAAAAUUACAAUGACUAAAAAUAACAAAAUUAAAGUAAAAUGACUAAAUCCACAAUUUACAUAUAAUUCAAUGACUAAUAGAAAAAUAAUAAUAAUUAAAAAUAUUUAACUUGUUUAUAUUUAAAAAAUUAAUAAAAAUCAAAUGAAAAUAAAAUGUAUAUAUUUAUAAAAAAAAUUAAAACAAUAUUAUUAGCUAGGUUUGAGUAAAUUUACUUUAAGUAUUUAUAAAUAUAAUUGUUUAAGUUAAACGGCGUCGUUUUCGUUUCUGAAAUGUUUUAUUUUCUCAUGCCCGACACUUAGCCAUUCGCCCCCAACCCAAAACAGAUUUCCCCAAUUCUCUAAUUUCUCCUAAUCCCUAAAUUUCCCCUAAAAGAAUCAGCAGACACGGUGAAAACUCAUUGUCGAGGUAACAUACAUCUGACGCUUUUCUCAUUUGCUUCAUCGGAGUGAAAAAUUCAGGUAAGUUGUUCUUUUAUUUGAGAACAAUUUGAUUUCUUCUUUGUUUAACCUAUGGGUUUUGGAGUAAUUUCAAAUCUAUCUUCCUAGAUUUGAGUUUCGCAACAAUCUUAGUUUUGUUGUCUAAGUUAAGCAAAAAUCUAUGCUGACUCCAACUCAUUUCCAACCUAUCUUUACCAACAACAUCCCAUUUAUUCCAUACUUCACAACGUUUGGGUUAAUUAUAUCCACUAAGCUGAAGCUUUCUGUUAUAAUAACAAUCAUAUGCUUCUAUCGGAGGGGAGGGAAUCAUGUCUUUCGAUCUCAUAUGCUGAAGCUGUCCUGCAGCUGCUUCGAAUCCUCCCAAGAUCUGUACGGCCGAGGACCAAAAGAAGAAAGAUGAUGAGGAUCUGAUGAGUGGCUGUUCGGGAUUUAACUUCUUAGCACAAAAAUUGAAAGACAUAUAUAUGAUAAUUGUUUAAAGUAUGAAAUUUGGUGGUUUCGUUUCUGUUGUUAAUUAUUUGUUUUUGUCUUCUGAGUUUUUUUUGAUGAAGAUUUCUUGUACUAUUUUUUUACCAUAUAAUAAUUUAAACGUAUAAACCAAAAAUAUUACAGAGUAAUUUUCUGCAUUCUUUUAUUCUAGGUGGUCUUUUGUUGGGUUUUUUUUUUCGAAAGUUUUGUUUUUGAUUAUUUGUUAAUGCCUGGGCAUACUACCCUCCACCAUCCCAUUUCUUUCUCCCACAUUUUGCAGCAGUUGCAGUCUUCCCUCAUUAACUAAAAAUUUCUAAAGGGUAGCAGCUCCAAGUAAUUCAAUUUCAAAAGCAUUUUCAAGUACCUAAUUUGAUCAUAUUGUAUGGAUGCCUUUGAAAAUCAAGUGUUUUGUCUCUAUGGUAAUAGCAUAGGUGCAAUGAGGGUUAAAAAUGCAUGUAUCGCCUUUCGGAGUUUCAGCGACGCUAAAAACCGCGAAGGGUGAGUCUUGCUUUACCUGUAUGCAAUGCCUUUUUAUGCACCUAGUUGCUUGAUGAUGAAUGGAACAGGUGUUUGAGAUGUCUGCAACAGCUCUCUCAUGAAUACUCCCUACUAAAGAACAAGCUUCAAACCUUAUUCCAGGUAAGUGUUGCUUCUUUACUUGUAUGUAUGCCUAUUAAUAGUUUCCCGGGAAAAUGAGCAUGCGGAACCGUUCUCUGAUGUUUUGGUGUUUCAGCUGGAGCAACAAAUAGUUGCAGCUGGUGGAUCGAUUCCAAGAGUGCAUUAAAUCACAUUUCGUAUCGUCUUCUUGAUAGAAUAAAAGCGAGAACCGUUGUUUAGAGUUGUGAAUAAAACAUUUCCAGCAUUUUCCUGCAUAAGUUGUUCAAUGUUUGAGAAUUUCAUCAAACUUUUUCGUGUUAAAUUCGAUUUGAAAUCGAGUCAGUUUGCAUUGAUGAUAAAAUUGAUUAAACCUCUGGUUAAAACAUCAGAGUUGUUCACACACUAACAUUUGACUUAUCUAUCGAUAGACUGAUGCAUCAAAAACUAAACAACAUCAGAGUUGUUUUCACACUAGCAUUUGACUUAUCUAUCUAUAGAUUGAUACAUCAAAGACUAUUACUUUUGCUUUAAGCGAAGGUUUCCUACGAUUUUUGUCUCUGGAAAAAAAAAAAAGAAAAGCUGAGAGGGACAUCAUCAAACAUGUUUUUUGAAAAUCAAAGACAAAAAUAAAUGUUGUGUGGGUCUGAAUUUGUUAUUGGAACAUUUAUUACAUUCAGUUGGAAGGUCAAGGUCAAGAGAUACUGGUUUUUAUUCUCAUACUUAACCAAAUCAAACUGUAUUAUAAUUUUUUGUCAUGUCAUCAGUGCAAUCUUUUAAGCUUUAAACAAUUGGGAUUAAUUUAAUAUUUAAACAUAGAAGAAGGUCAUAAUCAUAAUUUGACCAAAAACAAUUUUUGUUUAAUAUAAUAAUUUGACCCAAAAUGGGAUAGCAAAGUAGUGAAAAGUGAAUAGCCGGGCCUGGGUUGAGAAAAACGACACUGGGAGUUAAUGAGGGAAGACUGCAACUGCUGCAAACAGUGGCUAAGGCAUAGUAACAAAUAAUCAUUUGAUUAUCAUUUUCGUAAAAAAAAAUAUAAAACAUCAAAAAUUUCUUUUUAACUAAAAAUUGCAGGACCUCUCUUCGUUUCUUAUUUUUGAGAUGUUUGCAUGCUUGUGUCUUGAGGAGUAUGUUACUUAUUUUGUACUUUUGCUAGUAGAACUAAAGCAAUAUAUUCUCAUUUGUUUGUAGUUUUCUCUUUCCAAUCUUGCUUACCAUCUUGAGUGUGUUUGCAGAUUGUCAAACUUUCUUAGUGACUAUGCACAUUAAUGUUCACAGCAUUUAUUAGAGUGUGAGUUCCUCCCAUGCCUUUGCUUUUCUUCUUUUAACCUACUUCAUAAUUGCAAAUUCUCCAGUUUUGCUCCAAUAUUGCACUCAUCUAACUAUAUGUGUGUAUAUAUAUGCAUGUAGCUAUGUAUUUAUGCUUAUGAUAUCUGUUAAUAUAGCUAUUAGUGGGAUUUUUAGAAAAAAAAUCUAUUUUUGAAAGAUAAUACUAUUUACACAUCAUGUUCAAAUUAUGUAAAACAAGUAUGAUUUAGAUAUUAUAUAAAUCUUAAAAUAUAUAUUUAUAUCCAAUACUCCUACUUAAAUUAUGUUAACUUAGAUAAUAAUUGCAGCUAGUGGGCAAAAAGUUUGACAUUCUAUUUGAAAAAUGAUAUUUUAAAACUAUAUACAAUUGUUAUCAUAAAAAAGUUGUUGGGUAUCAUAUUUGAAUUGAAACCAUUUUUAUAGGUUGAGAUAAAAAAUAAAAAAAAAUAAAAACUGAUGGUAUAAUAUUCUAACUUGAAGCAUGAAGGAUAUACUAGAAAGGCACCAUUUGUGCUCAAAGAACCUUGAGAAGCUGGAACAACCUUGUCUUGGGAUGCAGGUUAGUGGCUUUUUAUUUCUUCUUCUAUAUAUGUCGACAUAUUUCUUUAUCUUUAGUUCUUACAUUAAUAUGUAAUCAGUCGGCUGGAAAAUUACUUGUAGAUGAAUGAAAAUUUGGAUUAUUUUAUAGAGCAGUAGAUGUGAAAGUCUCACUGGUGAGCCUCUUGUUUCACAUUAUUUUUGUUAUUUUUAUUCGUUGUAUUUGAUACAUAUGCAUAUCCAGCAGUAGAUGUGAAAGUCUCACUAGUGAGCCUCUUGUUUCACAUUACUUUUGUUAUUUUUAUUCGUUGUAUUUGAUACAUAUGCAUACACAUUUAGGUAUGAAGGUAUCAGUGUAUGGUUUUUUUCGAAUAUAUGAAAAUAUUUAAAAAGGAUUAAAUAUAUCCAUUAAAACUAAAUAUUUUAUAAGAUAAUACGGGCCUUUGAAUAUGAUUAUUGUAUCUUCACCAUUAAAUUCUAUCUACUUAAAAAUGAUAUUGACUUUUUCAUCCGUGGAUUUUGCCUUGAAACAGGCAAAUGAGAGGUGAGGAACUCCAUGGAUUAAAUAUUGAAGAACUACAGUAGCUAGAAAAAUCUCUAGAAAUUGGGUUGAGCCGUGUGAUGGAGAAAAAGGUUUUAUGGACAUGUGCAUGUUCUUGAUGUGUUUGUUUGUAGGCUUACAUGAUCUAUUUGCAUGCUUAUAUUCAUAUCUCUUCUACUGUGUCAUCAUACUCAUGUUUCAAAUGGCAUUUAGUCAACAUAAUCAAUUACCAGUAUCUUAGUUGUCGUAAAAUAAUCAGUUUAAUGUUGUCGUAAAUUAAAAACAAAAACUAUUUAGGUUUUGAUAACUUCAAUGAAUCAAUAUCUCUUGGUUUGGUUAAGUUUCAUUAUAUUCAUUUGAUUUUAAUUAUAAUUAUUUGUAAUUUUACCUUUUUUAUUAAAUAUUUUAUAAUAAAAAUAUUAUAUAACUUUUUUUUUAAUUUUUUUAAUAAACUGCUUACUACCCUCAAUUUCUAAAGUAAAAUGUCUGAAGUAUAUUUUAUAAUUUUUUAAUGAAGCAAUUUCAGGCUCUAAUUAACCUACUAGUGCAUCACUAAUGAAGGUAUCUCAACUUUGAUUAAUUACUUGUUUUAUAUGUUAUCAAGAUACUGAUGCAAUGAUCUUGGUUUUACCAACUUUAUAUUGGUGAAUGCAAAUCUAUCAUGGUUACACAAUUCUUUGCUAUUAUUUGCGCUACAAAGUACUAUUUAGUUAGUAAUCCGGUACUAGUGUUUUAAGCCUUUCUUUGUCUUUGUCACAUAAAAUGCUAGUGUGAGGAUGUCGGCACUUUGAACAGAUUUUUUGGUGAGCUUUUCGUUAUCUUUGUCACAUAAAAUGCUCAAUCCUUGGUGGUUUAAUCUUGCUGUUUCGGGUUGGAAGAACUGUAUGAAAGAAAUCAGUUAAAUUGCUGCUGUUAGUGAGGUCCGGAAGUGAGUAAAUUGAUGUUUGAAAUAUCUGUGUGGUGGAUUUAAUGCUGCUAUAUAUUGUUGCUCAUUACCGAAUUAAUGCUGAAACUAAGCUAAUUAAAUGGUGGACAAUUUGCUGUCGAUUAUGAUGGAAAUGACUAUUAAAUGUUUAAAAUUCCUCUUAUUUAAUUGAUGGUUGCUACUGUUUAAAUGCUGUAAAUUGAAGUGUUUAAAUGUUCUUUGUGUAGCAUUUUAAGAACUCCAAAGCUCACAGAUGAUUUGUUAUACUCUAUAUGAGUUCAUUGAUUCUAUGUUUUUGCAAUUUUAGGUAUGAUCAUGGGUGCAGCAGCUUCAACUGACAAGGACUUGCGCAGGUCUGGAGCAGGUCAAUCAAGAAGCUCUGCUGGAAUUAAACUGACAAGUAAUUGUAGUAUGCUUGUAGUUGAAAUUUCUUAUAGUGAACAUCAUGUUUAAUCGGCAGAAGUUUCAAAGAUUUUACUUUUUAGAAGAAAAUGUAUUGUAGUCAUUAGAUUGGGUUUUCAAAGAUUGAUUAUGUUAACAUUUUGAUCAAAUGAAAAGUUCUCUUGUUAAUGUUUUUGAACUCAAAAACAAUUUAAAAUGUGUCCAUUGUUAGGUUAUUUAAAUUUUGUAUGAUCAUUUAAGGUAAUAAUGUAAAUGAGAUGAUUUGAAAUAUAUAUGGUCUUUAGCGGCGUUUUUGGGGGAAGCGCCGCUAAAAGUCAGGAUCUGUAGCGGCGUUUUUUAGAAAAGCGCUGCUAAAAGUCACGAUACGCCGUAAAAUUUUGCGACGUUUACUAUAGCGACGUUUUUUACAGCGCUUGUGAAAACGCCGCUAAUAGUUCUAGCGGCGCUUAAAAGCGCGGCUAAAAGCCAAAAAAAUGCCACUAAAAGUCUGUUCUCUUGUAGUGCAUGCUUAGAAAGUUGGUUAUAUUCUUUUGGUUAGUUAUAUUUAAUUAUUUGUUUUGUUAGUUGAUUAAAUAAGGUUAUGUUGCCUUCAUUUACCAAUGAUUGUACUUUAUGCAUGUAUGUCAUCCCAUAUUUUCAUUUUUUCCCUUUGGUUUACAAAUGAUGGCAUUAUUAUUUUCAAUUUUUAAAAAAUCAGUUGGUCCAUUUUAUUUCAAGUAAAAUCGAUACAUUUUGAAAUAGUUUACAAUCAUUUAUUUAAAUUGUUUUUACAAAAAUAAGGCAAUGUUCAGUAUUUAGAAAUUCGAGAAAUCGUGCCCUACCGUGCUGGGUUUCAAUUUUUCGUUGGACUAAAUAUUUGGACAUCCUUUGGUAAUUUUUGACCUAAGAGUUUUUGGAAGUCAAAACUCAAUCGUGUUCUCAAAAGUAUAAAGGAUCAUGUUCUAUCGUGCUAGAUGUGAUGCUUUAUGCCUUUGAAACGAGAAAAUUUUGAUGAGCAGCUUACACCACUCAAAUGUUUUUAAUAAGCAUCAUAUUUCAAGAUUUCUUUUCUAAAAUUUUAAACAUAAGGACAACAUGUGAUCAAUCUGGUACCAAUUUUUAGGCGUACUGAGGGUGCUAACCCUUCCUCAUACGUAAUCGGCUCCCAAACCCAUUUUUUUUUAAAAAAAUUUACAUAGAUCAAAAAUGUUUUAAAUGAAACAAAAUGUUUUAUUAGGUGAUCUAAUCACACUUAAACAAAAAGAUUGGUGGCGACCCCACAUGUUGUUUAAAAGUCGAUUUCUGUUUUUUUUCAAAUAAAAAUAGUUUCGACAAAGCCAAGAAGGAUAAAGGGAAAAAAAUUAACAUACAUAAUUAUAUAUUAAAAAAACACUGAAAUCAACAAAUACUAAUACUGCGUCAAAUUAAGCAUAUUGAUUUAAUUCAUCCUACCCCUCCUUCGACUUUGUAUCUUUCUUCCAAAAUACUUGACAAACAACUUAUGUUUCAUCGGGUUAAAAAGGUAACCGAGAAUUAGUCUAUUCACUAGCCCACUUCCAUAUCCCAACAUGAUUGCUUUCCACCCAAAUUGAAGCCAUGAAUCUUCACCAUCAUCUUUCUUUGACAAUGACGACGGUUGUGGUGAUAAGCCUUCGGGAUAGCAUUUCUUUGACAAUGGAUUUCCACAUAAUCCUAGGUUGCCCUCAAAUGAGCUGUUUCCGAACGUACCAAAUUGUUUGCCUUGCGGUAUGGGUCCGAUCAGCUGAUUAUGAGAAACAUUGAAAAAUUCGAGGAAAGUGAGUUGCACCAGCUCUUGAGGGAUCUCCCCGGAGAGUUUGUUCUGAGAAAGAUCCAAAGUUUGGAGGUUUGAGAGGUUUCCCAAUGAUGGUGGAAUUGGACCUGACAGAAAAUUGUUGGAAAGGUUGAGGAAUUGAAGUGCUUGUAGAAUUUGAAUGUCUUUUGGAAUGCAGCCAUCAAAUUUAUUGCUUGACAGAUCAAUGGCUACCAAGAAAUCUUGAAUCUUCUCAUAUUUUAAUUCCACGCCUGCCUUUGUCAUUGUCAUUGAGUAGGAAAAGUCAAUAGGCCAAUAUGUUUCUCUUCCUCCAAAACUAACGUCUACCUCGAAGUACCUUAACUUGCCAAGAUCAACAACUUUCAUGGCCUUCCAUAUUUGGAAGUGACGAGAUGGCAAACAACCUGUCAACUUAUUGAAGGAAAGAUCAAGAAUUUGCAACUUUGGAAACUCAUUGGAUUUUGGUUCUCCAAUUGCACCAUGAAAUCCAUUAUGCCGUAGGAUGAGAAUUUUCAACUCUUGAAGCCUUCCUAACCAAGAGGGAAACAUGUCCUCUAUUUGAUUAUUUCCCAAAUUGUUGGGUUUUUGACACACUUUAACCGGGUAAAGUAAGAAUUUCAAACAGAGCACCAGCAGCAACGUAUUAUACCCGGAUAAAAUAUGAAGGAAAGAUGCUUUGUGUUAAAACCUUUCUAGCAUCUAUACCAAUUGUUGGGGAUUUUUGAAGGAGAGGAACAGAGCAGAGGAAGAAAUACAGGACAGAACAAGGCAGUAUUUUUUACUUGCUCACAAAUGUGCAGCAAGGGAGCUAUGGCUUCAGCUCAUUUAGCUCAUUCAUUCAAUUAGAAAAACAAUACAUUUAUAGAUAAAACACAUUACCAAAUACUACCUACUACCACUAAGUAGCCUAGGGACUUGCUAAGCAUUACUUGUACACAUCAAUAAGCUGAAUUAUCAGCUCAAUCAUCACCUAAACCCAUCAAAACAUCAAUAACUAAGUUCAUUUUCAACCAAACUAAACUAAAUUGCAACUACAACAGUCAACAUGUUGCUGCAGCAUGCAGCAUGCAUACAAGCCGUAUGCACUCAACAAAAACAUAACAGCAGCAUGGAUGGCCAAUUUCCAACACUCCUCCUUGGACUCCAUGCUGCAAAUGUCAUUCAUUCAUCAAGUUUUUGAACUUGGCAGUCCUUAGAUGCUUUCUUUCAAGCUGACCCUGCACAAGCACUUAAUUUUCAACCUUGGCAAAUGGAGUCUUCUCCUCCUUCACAGCCUUGGUUGACAACACAUCUUGCCUUGUUCCCUAUUACAGUACUGCUUCUUCUUGCAUAAACAGCUUGCAAGUAUAGUUUGCUUGCCUUCAGUCUGCCAUUUUUGGCUUGCACCCACUCGGUCUUGCAUUUUGCUGCUCGCAACUAUACACCUUUGACAGGCUCAUUUUUUUGCUUACUGUCUUCAACAGGUGUCUUCAACUUUGCUGCUUGCAACCAUACACCUUUGACAGGCUCGCACUUUGGCUUACUGUCUUCAGUUGGUGUCUUCAAUAGGCUCGCAACUAUCACUUCUUGCUAAGCUUGCAGCUUUGACAUCUUGCUAAGCUUGCAGCUUGCACAUUGGAAAGCUCACAUUCUUUCCUUGAAACUCCUCCUUCAGUCUAUCCCAGGCUUGUUUUGGUGUCUUCAUUUUAACCACCCAUAUGUGAUAGCCUUCUCCAUUAGAGACUGGUGGUGCAGCUGGUGAGAAGCUUGAUGAAGCCAUCGUUUUUUUUUUAAAAGUUUGCUAGAACAGGUCCCUUAAGAAUGCAACUCUAGAUACCAAUUGUUGGGUUUUUAACACACUUUAACCGGGUAAAGUAAGAAUUUCAAACAGAGCACCAGCAGCAACGUAUUAUACCCGGAUAAAAUAUGAAGGAAAGAUGCUUUGUGUUAAAACCUUUCUAGCAUCUAUACCAAUUGUUGGGGAUUUUUGAAGGAGAGGAACGGAGCAGAGGAAGAAAUACAGGACAGAACAAGGCAGUAUUUUUUACUUGCUCACAAAUGUGCAGCAAGGGAGCUAUGGCUUCAGCUCAUUUAGCUCAUUCAUUCAAUUAGAAAAACAAUACAUUUAUAGAUAAAACACAUUACCAAAUACUACCUACUACCACUAAGUAGCCUAGGGACUUGCUAAGCAUUACUUGUACACAUCAAUAAGCUGAAUUAUCAGCUCAAUCAUCACCUAAACCCAUCAAAACAUCAAUAACUAAGUUCAUUUUCAACCAAACUAAACUAAAUUGCAACUACAACAGUCAACAUGUUGCUGCAGCAUGCAGCAUGCAUACAAGCCGUAUGCACUCAACAAAAACAUAACAGCAGCAUGGAUGGCCAAUUUCCAACACAAAUUAAGAAGCUCUAGUAAGUUGCAGUUAACCAGUGAUCUCGGAAUACGUCCAUUCAAUUGAUUUUGACUAAGAUCAAUCAUCCUCAAUGUGUUUCCUUUUUCACAUGCUCGAGGAAUAGGGCCACUAAAGUUAUUGUUUUGGAGCUUUAGUACUGAAAGUGAUGUGCUUAGGUUGCCCAAACAUGGUGGAAGCAUGCCGCUGAAGCUGUUAUUUGAUAGGUCAAGUACAGUUACAUAUCCCUGAUGAGAUUUCUCCCUUGAGUAGGUUGUUUGAGACAAAAUAUUGGUAAAUGGAAGCGGGUGGAAUUGGUAGCGGCCCUUGUAGCAUGUUAGAACGAAGGUCCAACAAUCUCAGAUUGAUCCAUUGAGGGACAACAAUUGGUUGGUCGAAACCUCUAAGAAAGUUUUCACUUAAAUCUAAAACAUGAAGAGUUUGAGCAGAUAAGCCCCAUAUCCAUUUGGGGAUAAACCCAUGGAUUUUGUUAUCUCGAAGAUCAAGAAGCUCCACCUCGUCUUGACUCAGAAGAAAAUCUGGGAACUUGGAUAAGUUGCAAGAAGCCAGUGUUAACAAGGUAAAAUUUGGAAAAGUAACAUUUAUAACAGUAGUGGUAAGCAAUGAAAAAUGAUUACUAGACAGUUGAAGCACCUUCAGCUUUUUAAGAUUUAGAAAGGUUUCUAAUUUGUAUGUGCCGCUGAGGUGGUUACCAUAUAAAUCAAGUUCUACAAGAUUUUUCAGAGUAAAGAUCGAUUGUGGAACCGAACCCCAAAACUCGUUACCGCCUAGUUCCAAAAUGCUCAGCCCAGUAAGAUUACCGAACCAAGAUGGGAUUCGUUCAAAAAAUUGAUUCAGGGAAAGAUCCAAAUAUGUAAGCUUGGUAAGGUUUUUUAGAGAAUAUAGGAUGUCACCGUAUGAAUUUGUAGAAUCUAAAUUCAAUGCGGUUAGUUUGGUUAGCUUAGCAAGCCAAGACAAAGUGUCAGGGCUAAAUUCAUUUCCAGCUAGCGAGAGGUAAGUGAGCUGGGUAAGGUUGGCAAGGGAAGUGGGAAAUUUACCAUGCAAUUCACAAGCCACAAGAGAGAGAUAUGUUAAAGCAGAUAAAUUUGCCAAACUCUGAGGGAUUGUCGAAGAUACAUUUACCUUGUGAAGAUCAAGAUGCUUGAGGUUCACUAACCUCUCGGAUAAAAUUUUCAAGCUUGGGUUUCGGAGCUCUAAUGGAUUCCUAGAGAGAUCAAGUAUCACCAGGUUUGAAAGCUGUAGAACUUCAUAUGGAAUUUGACCUGUAAAGCCAGACCAGGAGAGGUCCAACCGUGAUAGCCUUGUAAGGUUACCAAUUGCAGAAGGGAUUUCAGAGCGAUUGAAGUUAUUGUCCGAAAGGUUGAGCCUUCUAAGGUGAUGGAGCUGGAAAAGGCUGUUGUUGGAGUUGAUAGAGCCAUAAAGGAAACUGCUGCUGAGAUCAAGUCCAAUAACGUGGCCAGUGUUAUUAUCACACUCAACUCCAUCCCAAGAGCAGCAAUCCCCACCGACCUGUCCUUCAAGUUUCCAAGAACUAACUUUCGGAUAAGCUAAAGUAUCAUCAGAAGCUGACUGAUUGAGAAUGAAGCUAUCCUUCAACCGCAACAAAGCAGAGCGUUCAGAAUCCAGACAAAAUCGCAGCAUAGAAGAAACACAUUGAGUAAGAAAAUGAGAGAGAAUUAAAAAGAGUAGGCAUUUUAGUAGAAAGUGUUGUAAUAACUGCCCCAUAUUAGCUCAACAGAUUUGUUGUUGUUGUUGUUGUAAAGUGUUGCAAAUAACAGCCACUUUUAUAGACAAAUCAAGUUGUAUAUAUGCGUAUGUGUAUGCGUAUGUAUGUAUCAUUGACAAUGAGAGCUCGGUUACUUGUGGAAAUGUCCAACUAGCAAACUCUCAAAGGCCAUCGUGGUCCCAUUUUCCAUGGUCGUAUAAGGAGAAAAAAUGAGGAGUAAUAAAGGAUUCAAAUAAGCUAUUGUCAAUUGAAAAUGAUAAUAAUGACAUUGAAAUUAAGGUCCUAUGUUGCUUUGGUUGGCCUCUCAAUGGCAGGCUAGAUUCUUCUUAUACCCCAAGUAAUUCACGCACGCCAGUUUUUUAUAUUAUAUUUAUAUUUAUUUGUUUAAGAAUUAUUACAAAAUCUGUUAAAUUUAAAAUAUAUAUAUAUUCAACAAGUUUAAAUAAUAUAAUAUAAACUUUUAUUAUGAUCAAUUUGUACUAAUUUUAAUUUAAUUUAGAAAUAUUUUGUCAGAAGAAUAUUUUUGAAUUUAAUAUAAAAAAAAACAUUUUAAUUUAAAAGAAAGUGUUCUGAAAGUGCUUUCUUUUAAAUAUGUAUUAAAACAUUAUUAUAACUUAAUUUAAAACCAAACUAUAGAUUAAAUUUUACUGCACUGUUCAAAUUCUGAAGGCAUGCUUAUUACUUUAAAUUAUUAUGUUUAAAAUGGGAUUAUGCAUUAAAAGCACAAAAGCAACAAAAGAAGAUGUAUUUGACGCAUGUAAUUAAGUAUGCCAACUUACUUUAGUAUAUUCAUGAUCGUGCCAUGCACGUGUGGAUCAAUGUAAUUAUAUUAAAUUAGUUAUUCCAAUUUAAAAAAAAAUUAAAUCGUUGCACUUAAAACAGUAAUAUAAUCAAAGUAAUACAAUAUAAUAAUAUGUUAUAAGAUAAAUAUGGACUCUUGACAGCUCAACAUCAUAAUCACGAUUCAAUCUAAAGUCCAUAAUUCAAGGGAUUGUUUUAGAGAGUUUCGAUCCAAAUCAGUUGCCAAUAUUCUCAUUUCCAAGUAGAAAGGUCUUUCAUAAUGAGUUAAAUAUUCACCAUGUAAUCAACAUAGCUCAAAUAUAAGAUUUAAUAAAUUGUCUAACAUCUAAAUAUAAAACUUGUCUCCAUAUAGAUUUGAUAGUUAAGGAACUGGGCACUCCUUUUGACACUAAAUUAUCAAUUUUAUAUUUUUUUAAUUUUAAUGUAUAAGAAAAAGAUAAUUGAUUCUAAAACUAAAUUAUUUGAAUUUACAAAUUUAAUGUAUUAUUUAAUUUUGGAAUUGAUUAUACUUUGUUUAAUAUAUUAUUUUUAAUAUUUUAAUUUUUUUUUUGGUAAAACUAAAUGAUUAGGAAUGUCCCUUGUAUAAUUAAAAUGCAAGAGAUUAAUAUAAAAUUGUUAUCAUUUAAAAAAAAAGUGUAAUAAUUUUAAUAUAUUUCAUUAUAUUGUAUGCCAAUCACAAAGUUAUUUUAGAAUGGGAUAUGUUAGAAUAUCAUAUGUAAAAAAGAAUGUUUGUAAAAUUGUAAGCAGAAUUUAAAAUGAAACAUUGAGAAUAAAAAAUGAAUAUAUAAUAAUACUAAAAUGUAAAUUAUAUUUUUGAAAUUGUUCAGAAUAUGUGUUUCUGUAUAUUAUUUAUCACUUGGGAAUGUACAUUUCUCACGUAAUUAUAUUUUGGAAAUAAUUUAUUUUAUAUCACGUGUCUGAUUUUUUUAAUAUUAUUUUCGUUAUUUAUUCAAUUAGUUAUAUUAUGAGAUUAAUUGUGGUGUGAAUAUAAAUAUUUAAUAUGUGAUAUUUGAAAUUAAAAAAAUAAAUACAAGAAAAGUUUUUAUUCAAAUAUACCAUAAAUAUAAUAAUUUUUCCAUAAGUGUUAACAAUGCAAUAACCCCUCAAUCACUUUUCUGAAUCGGGUAUAGGAAUUCAUUGAGCGAAGGAUGGCGAGGACGAUCGUAGUUAAAUUACUUGGCAGAAGAAUUGGUUUUAAUGUAGUGUUGAAUAGGAUUUCGUUACUAUGGAAUCUUAGGCACCCGAUUCAAAUGAUAGAUCUUGAAAAUGAUUUUUUCAUGGUUCGGUUUCAGGAUGAGGACUAUAGUCAGGCUUUAGUUGGGAGACCGUGGGUAAUCUAUGGCCACUACUUAACUGUCCGACCAUGGUCAUCAGAAUUCUCAACAAAUUAGAUUGAAGUAGAGCAUCAGGUGGUGUGGAUUAGACUUCCGAGCUUACCUGAAGGGAAUUAUUCAGAUUGUCUCCUUUGAGCGAAUGGGCAUACGAUCGGUCCAAUGAUAAAACUGGAUAUGCAUGUUGUUAGUGCUCGCUGGGGAAAUAUUGCAUGACUAGUAGUGUGCGUGGAUUUGAGAAAGUCGUUGGUGUCAAUGGUAAAAAUCAAUGGACGAUUGCAACAUGUAGAGUACGAGUCUCUACAAAAUGUUUGUUUCAAAUGCGGCCGGUAUGGUCAUGGUGUGAACGGCUGUCUAGGAUCUUAAAUGCCGUCACCAAAAAAUGGAUAAGGUCAGCAUGAAACUAUUUCGAAGGUAUCAGGUUUAGAUUGAAGGGUAGAGGAUGAAGCUAUCAGGCCGUGGAUACUGGUGGAGAGGCGAUAGAGAGGGAAGGGGCAUUUCAUGGGGAUGAAAAAAAUCGGUGGUUCAAGCGUGAAUGGUGGAGGACCGCGAUUCACGGCAUGAAUGGAGAAUGAAGCAAGAGAGUCGGUUAAAAUUGGGGGAUUUGAUGGAGGGGUCACUACUACAAAACAGGUUUUUAGCGGCGUUUUUAGAACGUCGCUAAAAGAUUAAGUCGAACGACGUCGUUUACUUGGAGCUUCAGUGGCAUUAGCGGCGUUCCUAAAAACGUCACUAGAAGUCAACCAUUACCGGCGCCUUUUUAAAAGCGCCGCUAAAAGAUUAAGCAUGACGCCUUCUGAGCUUCAGUGGCAUUAGCGGCACUUUGUGGAAAACGCCACAAUAGCUUGAGUUUUAGCGGUGCUUUUUUAAAAACGCUGCUAUAGAUCUAAACUAUUUUAAGGUUUAUGAAUUAUGAGUUUAAGGGUUGGGGUUUAAGGUUGAUGGUUUAUGUUUUAUGUUUUAUGUUUUAUGAUUUAGUGUUUGGAGAUUAUAGUUAAGGGUUUAGGGUUUAGAUUAAUUAGUAUUUUUUAAUUUAUAUAUUAAAUAAUCUCUUAUAUAAUUAUAAAAGAGAUAAUAUUAAUUUUAAUAUUUUAAAAUUAUAAAAAAUUAUUUAUUGAAAAAUAAAUAAAAAAAAGUAACAGAUUGAUAUGGAUAGGUAAUUAUCUAUUUUGGAUAGGACCAAAUUAUAACAAAUUAAAUGAGGUCUUAUUUUUAUUUUGAAUUCGAUUUUAUUUUGAUCAUAUCUAAAACCGACUUUAUAAACAAUAUAAAUUAACUACACCAUUCACUUAGCUAUGGGAAAGUUAAUUUCAUUUUAGUUACUUAAUUUUAAAAAGUUACACUUUGAUAACUAAACUAUUUAAUUAGAAGUUUUCAUUUAAUUAAGUUACGAAGCUGUUAAAAUCAAUGUUAUGGCUUUCUCUAAACCCUAACCCCUAACCCCUUAAAUCAACAACACUUUAAACCCCAGACCCUAAAUCUCUAAUUAUAAACCCCUAAAACUAUAAACACUAAUCAAUAACUCUUUAAACACCAAACCCUAAAUCUCAAAUCAUAAACCCUUAAAAUUCCAACCCCUAAACAUCAACUCUUAAACCCCAAGCCCUAAAACUAACCUCUAAACCCAUAAACUAUAGAUCGUAAAUCCCAAACCCUAAACUAUAAACCAUAAAUCAUAAACUCUUAAACCAUAAACACUAAAAUCUAAAAAAUAAAUUUCAUAUGGAUAUUAAGUAUAUAUAGAAUGAUUCAAUGUAAGAGCAAAAAACAAAACACAAACAAAAAAAAAGGAAAAAAAAAAGUGAAAUGGCAAAAUGAUUGCAAAACGUUGCCGUUUUAAGCUUUAUUUUAUAUGUUAAUUUAAAAAUUAUAAAAAUCUUCAAAAAAAAUUAAAAUUUAAAAAUAAAAAACUAAAAAUUAAAAAAAAAACUUAAAAGUUUAAUAUUUAAUAUUUUAGUUCAUGUUUCAGUUAAAAAGUUCAAUAUUCAAAAUUUUUAAAAAAAUUCCGAAAAAUGAUAAACUUAGCACAAAAAUUUUGAAAUAAAAAAAUAGAAAAAAAUAGGUUAAAAAUAAAAAAAUUAAAAUUAAACAAUAGCGGCGUUUUUGAUAAAAAUACCAUAAAAAAUUUAGCUAUAGUGGCAUUUUUGAUAAAAACGCCGCAAAAAAACGAAUAAUUUUUUGUUACCCGCUCAUUACUUACUCCCUCUUCUUCUCAUCUCUGUCGCGCGCCCUAAGUCCCCCCCAAAAAAAUGGUUUGUACUUAUUUCUUUUUCCCUUUUACUCUGAAAAUUUGCCCCCAAAUUUGCCCCUCUUCUCUCCCUCGUCUCUGCAAAUCAGUUUAUUUUUCUCAUCUCAGUUCUCGACCACCGCCGUCUCCGUUGAUUUUUUCCGGAUUUGACCUGUAUUCCGUGUCGAAUCGUGUUGACACAGGUACUGCACCCCAAAUUGCCGAGCCAGGGUAACAAAGCUUACCAUCCCCUCUUCUCUCUCUCGUAUCUACAAAUCAGGUUUCUUCAUUCUCUUCUCAUCUCAGUUCUCGCCCACCUCCUCUGGUUUUUGUCGGAUCUGACCCGUAUACCGUGUCGGAUCCUGUCGACACAAGUACUGCAUCCCAAAUUGCUCCGAGCCCGGAUAUACGGGAUUGGGCACAGAGCAAGAAUCUGCAUUGCGAUGGCGACCGAGGCAACUGGUUUUUCGGCCUUAUUCAUCUAUAAAUGGUGCUGAUAGAAAGCUGCGUGUUGUUGUUAGGAAGCCUAUAAGUUCGCCUUUCUAAUUGAUUGCCUAUUCAUUUUUAGUUCGAAAGUUUUGUCAGCACUUGUUUCUAUGCUGAAAUGUAUUGCAAAUUGAGGAGCUUUUUAUUUGGAUCGAUCUGAAUUUGUAUGGUUUAAGAGAUGUUUAACUGGUUUUACUCUUACAUGUGGUUUUAUUAGUGAUUCUCUUUAUCUUACUCAAGGAAAGCAUAUAUAACCCAAGUAAGCAUAUGAGCUAAUGUUGCAGAGGUUUCUAAGCUGAUUCGUAGGUGGAUCUGGUCUUUUUUGGGUUACAGGUGGUAUUCUUCUAGGGCAUUAAGUUGUAAACUAUGGUUUGAUGUUCAAUCGUUUUAAUAAAAUCUACUUUGCUGAGCCAAAAAAAAAAAGGUUAGAAGAGAGAGUCCCUUACUGUCUAAAUGUUCACUAGUGGCAAAUAGAUCAUAGAAAGUUCUAAACAAGAUAGGGAAUGAUAUGCUUAAUUCAGUUAGUCUCUACAUUACAAGAGCUCGAGAGGAGUCUCGAAUAUGGGGUAUGUGUCUAAGUCUAACACGGGUAUGCUCAAAUUUUCCUUAGCUUUUUUCUCAUAUUUUGAGGGUCAUUACACCAUACCAAUGUCUGAAUAUGUGUUGAAUGUAGGUGUUGGGCGCAGGUAUUCUAGGGAAAAUGAAAAGUCUAGUUGACAUAAGUUAGUCUUAUAUUCAUUAUUUCAGUAAGCUUAAGCGGAUUCGGUGAUCAAAUUGGUUUCAGGUGGAAGAACGUGAUGUGUCUAUACAAAUAUUAUUUAAUUGAGAUUAUGAUAUUGAUUUUAGAUCCCGAGUUCUAUCUAUCCUGAUACUAUCAAUCAAUGCAACUAAUGCCAGACUAUGAUUUCUAUAAUUUCUCUUUAAAUAUUUUAUCAUAUUGAAAAAUUAUGUAAUUGGAAAUUUUAUUUCUUUUUGUAAAUCAUUUUUCUUUAAAUUUUAUUUCUUUGUGUAAAUUAUUUUUCUUUAAAUUUUAUUUAUUUUUGUAAUUUCUCUUUAAAUUUUAUUUAUUUGUGUAAAUCAUUUUUCUUUGUUUAGUGACACAAUGAAUCUUUGAACAUAAUUUCUAUUUAGUUACAUAUAAAUGAUUUUUUAAAAAUUGUGUUUAUAACUUUUUUAAAGUAUUAUAUAUAUGUCAAAUUCUGCUGUUUGUCAUUGAACUAUGUGUAUGUUACUGAUUUAGUAUUUAUACUCUAAUUUGGCAAUUUUUAAUCGUUUUUUGUUCUUUAAAAAAAAUUAGUUCUGACAUUAAAUUCCUUAAACUAAAUUAUAUAAUUUCAAAAAUCUUAUCUGAUAAAUAAAUUAUUUAUAAUGUUAUGUCAAUUUACUAGCACUGCCAUAUCAUUUCAAUUGAUUUGAUUUUCAAAAAUUUGAAAACAGGGUUACUCAAUUUUAACUUCAAGUCACAUAUUCCAUUUGUUAGGAAAAGCUAUAUCUUUUUUCAGAAUUUUAUAAAAAAAGAUUUUAUUUGAAUUUUCUAUUGUGGUACAUUAAAGUUCAUAUGUAGCUCAAUUCCAUGUGUUGCUUUAUUUAUAGGUGCUUCGAGAGUUCAAUCAUGUUAAUCCACAAACAGAUGAGGAAGGAAAAGUAUUUUUAGACACAAGAGUAAGUUUCUUCAUGCCUCGUGGUAACUGAAAGAAUUUAUCCUGUCCUUUGAUCUAUCAGCUGGUACAUGAUAUUAGAUAGCUGUUUCUGGAUACUAUUAAUUUCUACUUUCCUGAUUUAUUGAAUAAAGAAUUCUUUACAUCUGAAUGUAGCUGCGUAUCUAAAUAAUAGAUUGUUUGAGGAUGGGCCAUGGAUUUGGUGAUAUUUUUUAUUUAAACUAUCUAGGUUUUAGAUGCAACGCCUGUACAUGCAAAGGCACAUGAUUAAUGUCAUCAAUUGCAAUAUUUUUUAAGAAAUAUUGAACCAUCUUUUGGUCUUUGGUAUGUAUUUAUAUGAUUGGAAUUUUGUUUAGGAAAGGAUUGAAUAUUGUUUUCUUCAUUUUCUGAUAUUUGUUUGCAGAAGAAAUUAAUUAUGCAUUUGAGGCAUGGAGUAUUCACACUUGCUUUUCUUGUAAAAUAGCAAGUUUCUACCAUCUCUGAUGGCAAUACAAAUAUUUGAGUUGAUUGGGUGGCAUUAACAUAGGACUCUUCCUGCUGGUUACUUGGAAAUUGGGGAGCCCACUGCUGAAGGGGCAAUAAGGGAAACAUGGGAAGAGGCAGGUGCUGAAGUGGAAGUCAUUUCCCCUUUUGCACAACUAGAUAUUCCCCUUAUUGGACAAGUUAGAAUAAGCAUCCUUAAUUUACUUCUGUAUCUCAUGUACAUUUAUGGAAGAUGUUUAUGUAUCUAACAUCGUUUUGUCUUUUUUGGAGCAGACUUAUGUAAUCUUCUUGGCAAAGCUGAAGAAGCCCCAAUUUUCACCAGGACCAGAAUCAUCCGAGUGCUAUCUCUUUGAAUUGGACGACAUUCUCUUUGAUUCUUUGACAUUUUCUUCCAUUUUUGUUACUUUGAAUUUGGUAUGAGCUUUUUCUUUUUCUUUCUUUCCAUAAAUGUAAAUGUGCUUAAAAUUUAUCUAAAAAUUCUCAUCGACAUAAAUUUUCAUAAAUUGUAUUAUCUCUCUGUUGCUGCAGUACAUCGAAGAUGUUAAAUAUAGGAAAGUAAAGUUUCACUAUGGCACCAUUAACAAAAGGUUAAGUGUUCUCUUGUUGCUUUUACUAGGUUAAGAAGCGAAUGAGGAAGCCUAUCUAUGUCUACUACCAACUGGACAAUUUCUACCAGAAUCAUCAAAGUUAUAUCUUUUCUACCUUCACUAUAAGUUUUACACCCCAUUAUGUGCUUUAUUGCAUGCUGGCUGAUCUUUAAAAUGAUGUUAAGGAUAUCCUUUUUUUCAUUAGCAGACAUCAUGCAAUAUUUUAACUAAUAUUAUUAACAUUUACCAUAUGCUUUUUACAUGAAUCCAUAUGAUUUUUGGAUUUUAUGGAAGUUUGUAUCUCUUAAACUGGAAUAACAACCAUCAGUAUGAGUUUCUAUUAAUGUCCUCUAGAUAUGAAAUCAAAUUGUGUUGAAUUAUAUUGUAAAACCACCGAAAAAUAUUUGUCCUCUUAAUAUCAAACUCUAGAGUCUAGAAUCUAGGCACCUCGGUGUGGAUAAUAGAUUGUAACUAGAUUUAUCUACCAAAGUGACGAUGAAUUUGAUCAGUUGGUUUUGCAUCCUUUAGAUAUUGAAGGUGCGACAAAGGAUUCAAUCUCUUCAAGCUGGAAAUGCCAAGGCUUAGCACUUCUUCAAGUGGAACGUUAUUUAAUGUUGCAUUUCAUGGUCAUUCAUCUUAGUCAGAACUUGAAUUUUGUGUUAUGGAAAUAGGGUUUUGUAGCUACCUUGUGUACCAGCUUCUUUAACCAUGAUGGUUAAUUAUUAUGAGUUUUGUAGCUUCUUUUAUAAUUGGCCGAGUUAAUAUAGAUCAGAUGAGCUGUAAGGUAGAUUGCCCAUUUAUUUAAACAUAAUAUUUAAAUUCUAAAUUUAAAUUCAUUAAUUUAGUUUUAAAGUUAAAAUUUUAAUAGAAAAUUUAAUUUAAUUAAUAUUUUUUUAUUUAUCCUUAAAAGUAUAUAGUUUAAAGUUUAAAUUUCAAAAAUAAAACAUAAUAUAAUAUUUAUCAUAGAAAAUAAAUAUUAUUUAAUUAAAAUAUUUUUUUAAAGUUUAUAUUCUUUAGCGGCGUUUGUGAAAAAGCGUCGCUAAAGGUUUGUUAUAUAGUAGCGUUUUUUAGAAAAAGCAACUCGAAAGGUCAUGGUUUUUAACGGCGUUUUUGAAAAAAGUGCUGCUAAAGGUCAUAGUUUUUAGCGGCGUUUGUAAAAAAAGCGCCACUAAAGGUCAUGAUCUUUAACGGCAUUUGCGGGGAAAACGACACUAAAGGUCAUGGUCUUUAGCGGCGUUUGCAAAAAAAGCGCAGCUAAAAGUCAUGGUCUUUAGCGGCUUUUUUUGUGACGCUUGUGAAAACGCCACAAAUAGAUCUAACGGCACUUAAAAGCGCCGUUAAAGGCAAAAAAAAUGCCGCUAAAAGUCUGUUCUCCUGUAGUGGGUGAAAGAAGGAGUUAACGUGAAUAACAAAAAUAUUGAAGAAAAGACUGGUGGGUUUAAUGUCAAAGGGCUUAGAAGUCCUUCUAGAGUGGGCAACGGGCCGAAGGGAAAAGUUUAGUAAUUGCUAGUAGGCCAAACAAGGGGAAUAGAUUAUUAAGGCCAACACAUGGCAACGAAAAUAUGUAGCCCAUUUUUGGGCAAAGAUCCUUUGAUGAUGGUACAAUUAUGGGGCCAAAAUUGGAUGGGGGAAUUUUGAAUAAAUUGGGUGUUCAAUCAAUUAAUGUGUUAGUUAAAUUGGACAUAGGGAAACAUAAAGUAGUUCACUUAGUAAAAAACCCAAGCUCAGAUUCAGUUAAAGGAAAAGAGAAUGGAAAUUUUAAUUUUGGGGAAUCAAGAAAAAUAAUUUCGUGUUCUUUACUAAAAGAAAACAAUACAAGGGGAAGGUUGCAGGACAAGCCACCGGAUGACGAUUCUGAAGGGUUUGCAUAUAAUACAAUGGUUUUUGCGAAGGUAAUGGCGGACCUUGUUAGUAUCUUGGAACAAUGAGUCAAAAGAAUACCGAUGGAAGACGAUGAGUCAUCAAGAGAGGAGGUUAGGAAAGAUAAGAGUAUAUGUAAUGAUAAGGUUAGUUGUUGAGAUGACUACUUAUUUUUGGGGUUGGUUUUUUUUUACUAUUUAUUUGUUUUAUGGAUACAAAAAAAAAUUCUUGGAACUAUCAAGGAGCCAGGCAUCCCCGUUUCCAUAAUAUUGUAAAAGAAUAUAGAAAAAAGUUUUCCCCUAAUUUAGUUAGUUUCUUUGAAACCCGAGUUAGUGGAGUAAGAGCUGGUGGUAUUAUUUCUAGAAUUGGGUAUCCUAAUUCGUACCGGGUUAAAGCUAAUGGGUUUGUUGGAGGUAUUUGGAUUUGUUGGAAUGAGAAUUUUCUAGUAAAUGUAUUGGUUGUUCAUUCACAAGCUAUCUAUUUAAGGGUUCGCAAUAAGCAAGGUUCAGAUAGUUUCCUUUGUUUGGUUAUUUAUGCUUGUCCAUAGUCGGCUAAGCGGCAAAAAUUUGGCAACUUUUGGAUAAUCUAGUAGUGUCAGUGGUCGAGCCCUAGAUUUUAGCUGGGGAUUUUAAUUUGAUCAUCGAUCGUUCUGAAAGAGAGGGUUGUGCUUCUGUUUCAAGGGUUGGGUGUAGACAAUUCUACAAGUUUUGUUUACUAAUGGCUUAAGGGACUUAGGAGCCAAUGGUUCUCAAUUUACUUAGUGCUAGGGAGCUGGUCUCAGAUGUUGGAUAGAGCUAUUUGCAAUGAGGAAUGAGAUUCUUUUGCGCCUGAAUGUUCCGUUAGAAAUUUACAUAGGCUAAAAUUCGACCACAGACCAAUUCUUAUCUCGCUUUGGCCAAUAGAGGUCAUAAGCCAUUCUGUUGUCUUGCCAGUUGGAUGGUACAUACUAAUUUUAAACACCUUGUCAUAGAGAGUUGGAUUAACGAGGGGGCCAUUUAUGCGAAUUUAGAGUUUAUUAAGGAAGUAUCUCAGGAGUGGAAUAAAAGGGUUUUUGGCAACAUUUUUAUUCGCAAACGAAAAUUAAUUUUUGAAUUAAACCGAAUUCAAAGAGUUUUGGAAUAAAAGUCUUUUUCUCCCCUAAUACACCUAGGGCUCUGGUUGAUGCUAUUUGUGCUGAUGUGGGGUUCACCUCUGUGGAUGAUUUGGGCAACUAUCUUGGAAUGCCUUUAUUCCAUACUAGAGUUACAAUAGGUACUUUUUCUUUCGUGGUAGAUAAAGUAAGAAAAAAGUUGUCUAGUUGGAAAGUGAGGACUUUGUGUAAUAUCCUGAUUUUGGGCCUAGUCGAAAUAGUGGUUUCGUGACCAUAAAAUCUGAUAUAGAAAUAAUUAUUUGAUGAUUAUUUUGAGGUCUAUGAUAUGAUUGCAUGAUUGUGUAAAAAUUUCGUGAAGAAAUUUUAUGCAUAAAGUGCUUAAAUUGAAAUUAGGGACUAAAUCGAAUAAUUUGCAAAACUUGCAUUCUAGAAGUUUCUAGUAUGAAAUUGUUUUGAAAUAUUAAUUAGGAGGUCUUAAAUAGCAAUUUUACCAAUUCCUAAGUCUAUGGACAAAAAUUGGACAUGGAUUGAAUUUUUGGAAAGUUUAGUAGUAAGGGUAUUUUGGUCAUUUAGGGGUAAAAUGAAUUAAAAUACAAAAUUAAAAGCCAAUUUUGCUCAUCUUCAACCCCAUGGCCGAAUAUAGCAAGGAGAAACCAUGGCUAGGGUUUUUCAAGCUUCCAAGCUCGAUUAGCAAGGAAAACUAAAAUUCGGGCUAAAAUGGGGAAAAUACCAAGUUGUGGACGAAAUGGUAAAAGUAGCCAUUUUCGCAUACGAGUUUUGACAAGCCAGCUCAGAAAUCGGGAACGGUCGGAGGCUCGCUCACACUAUCCGUAUACCAUCUUGGCAUAAUAGCUUGUAUAUUUUGAGUAUGGCAUGUAUAGCAUUAUAAUCAUUUUGUAUAUAUGGUCUUAUGAUAUGGUUAUUGAGUGGUAUGGAAAUGCUUGAUAAUGAUUAGCAAUUGGAAUGGCUAAUCAUGAUCAUAUUUGGUGUUAUGUAUGUCAAAUUGCUAGCUAAUCCAUGGAAACCAUGAAAUAGGUAAAAUUUACCAUAAAAUAGAUUCAGACAGCAAUAGUGACGUGAAUUUGAAAAAUCACUAAAAAUAGUAGAAAUGGAAUUAAAUAAUGAAUAAGUUAUGGAAUCGAAGAUUGAUGAGUCUAUUUUCAUAUUGAAGAAGCAAAACAGGUAUAUGAGCUAUAUUUUAUGAGAUGUUUAAGUUUUUGUGAAACAGGGCUAGAGCGAUUUCUGGAUCCCCUGUUAUGACUUUGGAAAUUCACUAUAAAUUUUAAAAAGAUAAUUAGAAGUCAUGAUUUAUAUGUACAGAUUAUUGAGUCUAGUUUUAUUAGAGACAAACGGCAUAGUCAUUGAAGCUCUGUACAGGGAGAUAUCUGAUUCGUAAUACACAAAGGUCAGAGUAGUUGAACCCUGAAACAGGGGAGACUUUAACUAAUAAACUGUACUAAUUGGCCCAACCAAAAUUUCUAGAAAAAUAUUAGUAGAUAGAUAAAUGAGUCUAGUUUCAGGAAAAAUUUACGGAAUUUGAUUUCGAGUUUCUUAAUUCGAGAUAUGAUUUUUAAAGUGACUGUGAUGCAGUUAGCCAGCUUGUCUGAAAAUUUUAAAAUGAAUUGUAUGACCUGUUUAAUUAAUGAAUUAAGUCCGUUAACACAUCGUGUUCGACUCCGGAAACGGUCUCGGGUACGGGGCGUUACAUUUAGUGGUAUCAGAGCAGGUUUAGUCGGUUCUCAGACUAACCUAGCAUGUGUAAAAGUUUAGCUAUACAUGCCACUGAUCUGUGAUAGUGUGAUGUCUUCCGACGCGUAUGAGUACCGUCUUAUUUAGACAGGGUACUCUCCAACCGAGCUGUGCCGACCAUGUUCAAUGUUAUGUGAAGGUAUUUGAGUAAAAUUAUGAUUAUGAUAAGUUUCGGUUCAGAAAAGUAUGAAUAAAGGUUUAUGAUACAUAUGUGAUAAAUAUUAAUAUUUGCUUAAUGCUCAUAUGAUGUAGUGUAUGUGGCUUACUUGAUAAGAUGAAUGGAAUAAAUAGAAAGUAGUAGAGGUAUGAAUAAAGGUCAUAAUAUUAUGAUACAAAUGAAAAUGUCAUUGUCUUGAUUUGGACGUCGAAUGUUGAUGAAUGCUAAUGAUAUAUAAUUUUUAUGAGAUAAAGGAUUAUAAUGAAAUGAACUUAUCUAUGUUAAAUUGUUGGACUGAAUUAUAUGAUUGUAACGAUAUGUACAUGAUGAUGCACGAAAUGAAAGUUGUAAUUGUGGUGCAAAUAUCUAUGUUUGUUUGGCCUUAUAUGAUGUCAUGAGCAUGACUUAAUUUAAUUAAAUGAAUGGAUAAGUAAAGCUAUCUAGAAAACAUAGAAUGUAUGCAUAAAUAUAUUGUCUAAAUGGGACAAUAGGAAAAUUGGUGUAAGCCAACAUGAAUGAAUGACAUGAUUUUGAUGAUGUUACUAUGAUGAUGGAAGUUGUGUCAUAUGUGUAUGUAUAAGAAAGUCGAGUCAGAGGUCCUACAACCCCUCCCCCUUACCGAAGUGGUACUUAUAAUGGAAUUUCAUGAGAUUUGUAUUGAAUAAGUUUCUGGUUGAGAACCCAAAGAGUUCAGUGAUAGAAUAAUUAUAAGUAUGAUCAGAGAUUGAAAAUGAGCUGAUAAGUAAAGUCAGAGCCAGUAAAGUAUCAGAUUGAUAUAAAGAUUAUUGAAAUUAUGCACUGUCCCAGUUAGAGAAGGAAUUCUCUUUGGUAAAUCGAAUUACUCAGGUGCAAGGUCGAGAAAAGUGUAAAUCGAAAUUUAUUCAGAACUGACCUUCUUUAGUGAAUGGUUUAAUAUGAAAUUUGUGAUGGCAGAACUAGUUGGAGAAAUGAUAAUUGAAAUGUGAACUAUCUGAGUGUGACAGUUAUGACUGGACAGAUUUAGCAGUCUCUUUUGAGAUGUUCUAUGUGUUUACCCAUUCUCAGAAAUAUUUCUAUGGCUAUUGAUCUUCUGAAGAAAUUCUUGUUAUAUGGGAAUGUCUUCUAAUUCUGGUGUUGGAUGAAAGCAUUGGUAGUCUGACUGGUUUAUAAUUUAUAUUGCUCUAUUUCAUCGGGUAUUCUAUUUCAUUUCGUCUGAUAAGAAUUGAUGAGAGAAUACGUAUGAUAUUAUGAUUCUGUUUCUUCUACUUGAUGCUUCAUCUGAUAUAUAUGUAUGGGAAGAUAUAUUGAUCUUGUUAUAUUUGAUUUCAGUGGGAUUAAAUGAUGUUUUCUUCUGGACUUUCUUUCUUUGAAGAAUUAUCGGGGUAUUCCGUAUUUUCUCUAUGAGUUUGGUUUUCGAUUCUCUGACAUAGUAUCGUAUCUUGGGUUUCUUUAUCCUGGAUCUCUUUAUUCUGGAUUUCUUUAUUCCGGGUUUCUCUAUCUUGGAUUUCUUUUUUCGAUUUUCUUGUUAUCUUUGUUCCAUAAUUUGUCAAUUACGACUCAUGUUUGAAGUGGGUUCUUCAGCUCGUGAUAAUCAUGUAAAAUAUGACUAUACUUCUAAUUUGAUCUUAGUAAUGUGGUGAUUUUAGUAUUGGGAUUUUUUCUAAUUUCUGUGUAAGGAUUUGACAUCAGUAAAGGCAUAUGUGAUAAAAGCGCGAGUUUCAGUCGGUAUGGUAAAUUAUUUAUUUGAAAGAUUUCAUGUGACAAUUAUGUCAGGAUUAUUUUUCCCAAGUCUGAUAAUAGAAUUUCAUUUUGUACGAAUAAAAGAGUAAAUAGUUUGAACGAGAAGUGUAUAUUUAUUAGAAAGAGUUGAAUAUUAGUUUAAGUCACUACGAAUGAUAAGGUUUCCAUCUUGUGAAAGCUGAAAAGUUUAUUACAUGUUGACAGAGUUCGGAUAGAUGAGAAUAUUGGUAACCGAAGCGUCUGAAUUAGACUAGUCUACAUUGAGCAAAGACUUCCUGACUUUCAGUAAUGUACUGUUGUAUGAAUUGUGAUGUGUUUCAAGACAGUGAGGUAAUGUGAUAGUUUAGAGCAUUCGAUGUUACAUAAAAUUGGAGUUGUUAAAGGGGUUAAAGCCGAGCAUUGGAAUCUAUCAAAAUUAUCCUUGUCAGUGUUGACAUUGGGAUGGAAAUGAGAAAGAUUAUUCUUGAGGCCAUAUCAGAAUUAAUUCCAUAGCAGAAAGAGGAAAAUGUGAUGUAUCCUAUUGUUAAAUGUUUAGCGAGAUCUAUAAAUCAUAUCUGUAUUGAAUGAAUUCCUACUCAUCAGAUUCAUGGAAUUUUAGGUCUCUUUGAUUGUUGGAUUUCUUAGAAUUCCAGUCUCCAUUAAUCAAGUUAAGAUCCGAGUUUUGUGUCAUGAUAUCAUGAGAAACUGAGAAGGGUUGAAAAUUUAAGAACAGUUGAGAGUUGAGACUGUAAGCUUUCAGAUCAUAUGAGAAAUUAAAGAGAUGUAUUGGAGGUACAGUCUAAGUGAAAGUUCUUUGGCACCGAAUAUGAGAUUAAAAGUGAAGACCACUUUUCUGGUAAGAUUUUCGGGGACGAAAAUCCCUAAAGGGGGAGAGUUGUAAUAUCCUGAUUUUGGGCCUAGUCGGAAUAGUGGUUUCGUGACCACAAAAUCUGAGAUAGAAAUAAUUAUUUUAUGAUUAUUUUGAGGUCUAUGAUAUGAUUGCAUGAUUGUGUGAAAAUUUCGUGAAGAAAUUUUAUGCAUAAAGUGCUUAAAUUGAAAUUAGGGACUAAAUCGAAUAAUUUGCAAAACUUGCAUUCUAGAAGUUUCUAGUAUGAAAUUGUUUUGAAAUAUUAAUUAGGAGGUCUUAAAUAGCAAUUUUACCAAUUCCUAAGUCUAUGGACAAAAAUUGGACAUGGAUGGAAUUUUUGGAAAGUUUAGUAGUAAGGACAUUUUGGUCAUUUAGGGGUAAAAUGAAUUAAAAUACAAAAUUAAAAGUCAAUUUUGCUCAUCUUCAACCCCAUGGCCGAAUAUAGCAAGGAGAAACCAUGGCUAGGGUUUUUCAAGCUUCCAAGCUCGAUUAGCAAGAAAAACUAAAAUUCGGGCUAAAAUGGGGAAAAUACCAAGUUGUGGACGAAAUGGUAAAAGUAGCCAUUUUCGCAUACGAGUUUUGACAAGCCAGCUCGAAAAUCGGGAACGGUCGGAGGCUCGCUCACACUAUCCGUAUACCAUCUUGGCAUAAUGGCUUGUAUAUUUUGAGUAUGGCAUGUAUAGCAUUAUAAUCAUUUUGUAUAUAUGGUCUUAUGAUAUGGUUAUUGAGUGGUAUGGAAAUGCUUGAUAAUGAUUAGCAAUUGGAAUGGCUAAUCAUGAUCAUAUUUGGUGUUAUGUAUGUCAAAUUGCUAGCUAAUCCAUGGAAACCAUGAAAUAGGUAAAAUUUACCAUAAAAUAGAUUCAGACAGCAAUAGUGACGUGAAUUUGAAAAAUCACUAAAAAUAGUAGAAAUGGAAUUAAAUAAUGAAUAAGUUAUGGAAUCGAAGAUUGAUGAGUCUAUUUUCAUAUGGAAGAAGCAAAACAGGUAUAUGAGCUAUAUUUUAUGAGAUGUUUAAGUUUUUGUGAAACAGGGCUAGAGCGAUUUCUGGAUCCCCUGUUAUGACUUUGGAAAUUCACCAUAAAUUUUAAAAAGAUAAUUACAAGUCAUUAUUUAUAUGUACAGAUUACUUAUUGAGUCUAGUUUUAUUAGAGACAAACGGCAUAGUCAUUGAAGCUCUGUACAGGGAGAUAUCUGAUUCGUAAUACACAGAGGUCAGAGUAGUUGAACCCUGAAACAGGGGAGACUUUAACUAAUAAACUGUACUAAUUGGCCCAACCAAAAAUUCUAGAAAAAUAUUAGUAGAUAUAUAUAUGAGUCUAGUUUCAUGAAAAAUUUACGGAAUUUGAUAUCAAGUUUCGUAAUUCGAGAUAUGAUUUUUAAAGUGACUGUGAUGCAGUUAGCCAGCUUGUCUGGAAAUUUUAAAAUGAAUUGUAUGAGCUGUUUAAUUAAUGAAUUAAGUCCGUUAACACCUCGUGUUCGACUCCGGCAACGGUCUCGGGUACGGGGCAUUACACUUUUUCCCUAGCAGGUUGUUUAACGUUGGUAAGUGCAGUCCUUUUGGCUAUUCCAAACUAUUUCAUGAUUAUGGUUUGUAUCCCCUGUAUCUAUUUGUAAGGAAAUCGAGCAUAUUGCCCGAAAUUUCCUUUGGGGUUCUAAUUUAAAUUCUAAAAAACCCGCUUUAGUAUUAUAGGAUGAUUGUUGUCGUCCUCUCGAUGUUGGAGGGUUACGAUUAAGGAGGUUAGCUUGUCAGAAUAAAAUUUUCCUAUUAAAGUUUGGGUUUUAGCUUCUUUUGAGAAAUAGAUGCUCUUUGGGUCAAAGUGUUGAGGAAUAAAUACAAUGUACAAGGUCUGUUACCAAGGUCCAUUGUUAGAAGUAACUGUUCGUUUCUUUGGAGAUUGUUGAUAAAGGUCUGGCUUGAAGUAAUGUCCUAUUGGUCCAUUGAAGAUAAUCAGCUCAUGAAUUUUUGGAAUGAUGUGUGGAUUCGACAAUUAGGGUCCCUUUGUAUGUUUUAUAAAGGUAUUGGUCAACCGAAUGAUACACUUCGGAUUUGUGAGUUGGUUACAAAAAGUGGAAGUUGGGACUGGUCUCGUCUAAGUUAUCUCUUACCAGAUAAUAUUGCCGCACAAAUCACAACUAUCUUGCGUUAUUCUUCUAAUGCAGAUCAAGAUCAAUUAGCGUGGAAAUGGAUGAGGAAAGAUGAUUUUUCCACAGCUGCAGCUUAUAGGAAUAUGCAUGCUAUUGAUGACAUAGGCUCCAUUGCGAUUUGGAAGAUUAUUUGGAAAACAAUGACAUCUCAAAAGGUUCGAGUUUUCCUUUGGCUUUUGUGGCAAAAUAAAUUAUUGAUGAAUAGUGAGCGAGUGAGGAGACACACGACAAGCGAUGGGGGUUGCCCUAGAUGUAGUAGUGUGUUGGAAACAGAAUCCCAUGUGAUUCGUGAUUGCCCAUUUGCUAAAUCAGUGUGGCUAUCAAUAAUUUCAAGGAGAGUUCAGGGCUUUUUUUUCCUCUCUUCCAUUUAAUGAGUGGUUUCUUUGGAAUAUGCAAAAUAUAGUGAUUUUUGGUACAUAGAAUAUGGAUUGGCAGACUCUGUUUUGUAUAAUAAGUUGGUUGCUUUGGAAAGAUCGAAACUCAUUUGUUUUUUUUCUAACAGCUAUAACUGUGUUCAAGCUAUUAUGGUUACAGGUUAUUCUUGAGCAAGGAGUUAUGCAGAAAUUGGUUCAAGUUUGUUUCAACCAAGUCCUAUGCACACGUUGUUGCAUUGGUCUCGACCGGAGAGGGGUUGUAACACCCCAAAACCCGACCUAGGAGUUUUGCCCAGAUCUCUGAGGUUACAUUGAUCACUGAAGUGAUCAAAAAGCAAUUUACAAAAAGAAUUGUUAAAAACUCAUUUCAAACACAGUUUGCUAAAUUCGAACUAAGCCAUUUAACAAUUUAAGAUUCAAAACAGUAAUUAAGUUACGUUAAAAACAUUCAGAAAUAAAAUCCACAGUUCCCAUAAACACUUACAGUCCAAAACAGUUUAAUAAAUUAAGAAUUGAAGAAAAAAUUUAUUAACUUAAUUCAAAACUUAUCACUCCGAGACAUCUAGUAUGCCGAGUCCAACUUCAGAACACGAAAGUACUUGAAAGGGAGAAAACUAAGAGGAUGAGCUACGCGAGCUCAAUGUGAGUCCGAAACGUAAACAAAUGGAAAAAGACGAGGUUUCAAAAAAAUUUAUCCCAGACAAGAACCACAGUUAAUGUAAAAAAACCUUAAAAUGGUAAUCAGAGGUACAGCACAUCAAAUAAGUAUAAACAUUCUCAAAUAAUUUUAACAAAAUCAUAAUCAAACACAUAUGCUCAAAUGCAAACCGAAUGCAACAAGUUAAAACCCACCUAACCACCCAAACACCACUUCGACCACCCUGCACACCACAUAUGAGCUAUAUCAAGCCCAUCCACCCUGCACACCACAUAGGACCAUGUUAGGUCCAUCCACCCUACAUACCAUAAAUGGUGGAACUAAGCCACUAUUAUAAUAAUAUGCAACUGAACUGACAUAUAUUUCCUGCAGAUGUACUACUGUACAUAAAUAUUGCAGUUAAACUGCCCAAACAGACUCCCUUCUCUUCACAACCAAAAUCCCAGAAUUUUCAUGUAAUUGCAAAAUGCACACUAUUUGCACAAAAAUCCCUAAAUUGCAACCACACGGCCGUGUGGCACAAAAAAUCACCCAAAAUCCCUAAUUCCCAAAGUCACACGACCGUAUGAAUCGCCCGUGUGCGGCACAUGCCCGUGUGGUAAUGAAACCAUACUAAAACAAGCAGAAAAAUGUGCUUUCCUCCACGAAAUGAGUUUCUAACAUCAGUAGUUCUAAAAACCCACAUUGAAAUCGAUUGAAAAUCAUGUAAUCCAUCAUCAAAACGACCCUUACCCGCUCUAAUUUCAAAAACAUACGGUUUAAUUUCAAUAACAUGCAAGAAAUAGCCGAAUUCCAUAAGAUCCAACAUCGAAACUAAACAGUUCAGAAACACAUCCGUAAUUGCCAAAUACUACAAAACCCUACAACAGUUUGAUACCAUGAUUAAACAAUUUAGAACACACACACACACACUUGUUUUUGUGAUCUAAAGCAAUACCCUCAAUCCGAAAAUUUAUUGUUGACGAAAGAGUAACCAAAUGACGAACAAAACUUAAAUCAAACGGCUUAGAAGCGUAACCAAAUGCUAACUGGUUGUGUGGUAAGCGUAACCAAAUGCUAACUGGUUGUGUGGUUUCUUGAUGGCUUUUGGCAAGGAUUAUGUAUUCAAAGUAGCAGUAAUGACGGUCUUAGAAGGUCUUUUUAUCGCUUGGAAGAAGGAUUUUAGACAGUUAGGGGUUGAAGGUGAUAAUGCACUAUUGGUGGAAUUACUUUUAGCUGAUGGAGGAGAAAAUAGCAGUUUGGUAGAGUUACAAUUGUUGCAUCAAAUUCUGAGAUGGAGUUGGAGAGUAAGGAUUCGUCAUAUUCCAAGAAUUCAUAAUAAAAUUGUCAAUCAUAUGACUAAAUGUUAUACUUAUGGAGUUUUAAGUUUACAAGUAUCUGAUGAUCUCUAAAUAUGGUAAAAAGUUUAUUGGUAACUAAUUUAAUUCAAUUGAUGCCUGAUUAAGAUAUUGUUUGAACUGAUUGAUCCUAAUGUAUUGAAAUGUGAAACACGCAAAUAGCAAAGGCCGUGGUCGUCUGCCCAUAUUCUAUUGUCGUAUAAGUGGAAAAAAGAAAACAGAAUCUUACUGACUAUAAGUCUUCAAUAAUAGCGAUUAAUUAAUUGACCAAGACUUUAAAAUUCAAAUGUCUACUGUCAAUUUAUGUUGAUAGAUACUAAUCUUCCUUUGUGAAUGAGUGGAAAUUACUUCCAACUUCGGAUACUGGAACAACUUGCUCAAAGUUUCAAUACAACCUCUUAAUUUUCUGUUUAAGAUUAUAUAAUUGUAGAAAAUUAAAAGUCAUUGUCGUCGUCCCAUUUUCUAUUGUCGUAUAAGUAGAAAAAAGCAAUCAGAAUCUAAUUCACCAAGUCUUAACUCGCAUAGCACAAUUUAGUAGACUAGCUAGUCAAUUUGUGGGUCAUAAGGGGUAGCCUUUGCCAUCUUCUUCGCUUUCUUCCUUCACCUUCAAUCUUACUUCCAACUUCGUAAUCCAUGAUUCUGGAAUAACCCACUCAAAUAGUUAUCUUCUUUAUCUAUAUUACAAGGAAUACCAUGAAAUUUUCUUAUUUGACGCGAAUAGUUAUCCUCUCGAUUAAUGAAAAUCGUUAAUUAACAAAUUUGACCAUUAAUCGUGUUGAUGUGGUUGACAGAAGUCACCAAAAGUUGCCAUGUGACAAUAUAUUCAUGUGCAAAAAUAAAUUUUUUUAUUUAAUGAAUUACAAUAGAAGGGUAAAGUCCUAACAGUAAUACAACUAGUGCAACUCAAACUCAUACCGUACUUGGGACGAUGAAUACCUUGACUAUCAGGCCAACGUAUGGGAUUCCAAAAUUAAUAAAUUUUAAUAAUUAUAAAAAUAUAUUUAAAAAUAUAUAUAAAAUUUUCAAAUCCAUAAAACUUCAAAUCUGUAAAAACAAAAACAGCAUAUAUCUAUGGGAAUAUAUAUUUCAAAUAUGAAAAUAACAAUAUAAAUUCUAAAAUUCGUGAAAUAUAAUUUUUUUUACAUGUAUUCUUUUAGUGUUCUUAAUUUUUUGGUAUUGUAUUUUAUAUAUUACUUUAAUUAUUUUUCUCAUGUUUUCUCAUUUCAUAAAACCAUAUGGUUUAAAACGUUACUAAAUUAUAAUUCACCAAAACAAAUUAAAUUAUUUCAUUAAACAAAAUUUUUAUUUACAAUAAUAAUGAAUUUAUGAUUAAGUUUUACUAAAAAAAACUUAUGAUUAAGUUUUACUAAAAAAAACUUAUGAUUAAGUUAAUUUUUCAAUAAAAUAGUUAAAUAAAAGAAUUUUCUAUAUUUGCAUCUAUUCAUGGGCCAGCCAAGUUCUCGUCCAAAAAGUGGGAGGGUUUGGGCAAAAAUAUAGGCUCAAAAAAUGGGUUUAGGCAAAAAAAAUAAGACCCAUUUAAAAAAGGAUCGGACCUCGGGUAAGGAAUUUUUGGCCCGGCUCAAAUUCACAAAAUGACAAAAAAAUUGCUAUUUUCUUGUUGUUUUCUCCCUAUUUUGCUAUCAUUUUACUAUUAUAUUGUUACUAUUUUGUUGUUAUUGUUUGAAUAUUAUAUAACACUUGUUUUAUUAUUAAUUUUGUUAUUAUUUUAGAGGCAUUUGCUUGUGAAGUUGUAUCUAUCUUUGUGUUAUUUAAGUAUACACAUUUUUUAAAAUUUAUUUUCUAUUUGUCGGGAAAUAUUUAUUUGAAUGUUUUUAAUAUUUUUGGUAUAUUAUAUAUAUUUAAAAAUUAUAUAUAAAAAAUUAAUAUGGUCGAGUCAUGCCGGGCUUGGCCAAAUUUUUAGACCUAUUUUUGGGUCGAGCCUAGGCUUAGCAAACGGGCCUAAGAUUUUGGUUGGACCGAGCCCGAACCCGUCAGCCAGACCCAUCCUUUUCAUUUUAUUUUAAUAAUUAAACAUUGGGUAAUGUAUUCAAUUUCUCAAUCAAAUCUAAAAAAUUCUUUUAUUUUGAGUUUUUAUAGAUUUGAAAUAUAUAUAUUUAGAAUUUUAAAAUUUUUAGUUUUGUACACAUCCAAAAUGAAUCUAGACAAAUUGCUGUCUAGAUUCAUUCUAUAUGCAUAUUUUAAUUAAUUUUCUUAAGAAAAUAUUUUAUUUUUUUUUGUAACCUCCCCAACCUGGCCUAGACGGUAGACUCGAAUUCAGGAGAUUACAUUAACCACCGAAGUGGCUCGAUCUUUAUCAAAACCAGUUUUCAUUUAAAACUCUAGUUUAUUCCGGUGAUUUACAAUUUAUAUUCUUGUUAAACUUAUUAGAGUUAACAAUAGAAUUAAAAUGUAAGUCUUUUAAAUAAAACAAUUCGGUUUAAUCAAUAUUAACAAAUCAUAACCUAAAUUUAUAACCUAUAUUGAAUGAGAUGCAUCUAACAAUUAAAUUAAAACUAAAUCUCAAAUCAUGGUUCAUAGUAAAAGAAAAUAGACAAUAACUAUUCCUCCUAAGGAAUUAAAAAUAAUAACACUAACGGAAAUAAAGAUGAAACAAAAGCCAAGACCCUCCGAGUGUCGUGUCUACAUCCUAGCUGGAAGGAUUAUCUGUAAAGAUGGAAAUCAGGGGGAGUGAGCUAUGAAAGCUCAAUGUGAGUCAUUUUACAAUAAACCAAAUCAUACAACUAUCUUUUAAAACAUUAAAUAACACCAUACAUCACUAUCAAGCUUAGCAAUCGAUUAUAAAUACCGGUCAAUUUCAAAUACAAUAAUACGGUGAUGUUACUCUAGUCAAGCAAUAAUAAUAUUCUCAAAUAUAGGCAAUCAACUAAAUUAGUUUUAAAAUUAUUCACACUGUUCACGAAAGAUAUAUGCAUAUAAAUAAUUUCAAUCAUUUCAUCAAGCAAAUUUAGUCAUGUACGCAUAAAUUAUCAAAUAUGCCAUACAAAAAUCAGUUGGGGGUAGGGAGUUCCCUCGAAAUUCCUCCACCAUCACUCUAAUUUAUGGACUUAAUACCAUAUUUGAAUUCAGGUAAUUACAGAUAAAAGCUUUCCAUAACUAUAGAAAUACGGUCAUCUCACAGACAAGAGCUAUUAGAAGGGCCAUGGGAGCACAGUAAAAACAUUGUAGUUAGGAUCUGCUGUAACUAUGGGUGCACAUCAAGACCAUCUUAGGUAGGAUGUGUUGUAACUGUGAGUACACAAUGAACAAUUAAAUGCAAAUAAACUGCCAGUACUUCCUCUAAUCAUAUCAGCCCAACCCAUGCAAAUGCAUUACAAUUAAUUCAAAAGCAUUCAAACAUUGUAAUAUUCAAUAUUCUAUCUCUUUACAAAUCAAUAACAUUCAUGGAUCAAUUAAGCAUUCAAUAAGUCAACCAUUGAGGGUAUAUGAAUCAUUCAAUCGGGUAUUUAUACAAAUUAUGUGUAAAGUCAUUCACGGUUUAAUCAAUCAAUCAAGAGUAAUUCAAUUAAUAAAUUCAAUCAUCCAUAUAUCUCAUUGUUCUAUUCUUAAUCCCGGACCUAAUUGCAUAAUCUAGUUCUCUAAUUGCCAUUAAAAACCUAAUUAGGGACUGAUUUGAAUAGAAAAAUAAAAGUUAGGCUAAAACUAUAAUUUUUGAGUUUCAGGGGUCGUACGGCUGUGUGACCGGACUGUGUGUGAAACCCCAGGCCAUGUGUGAUUCAGAUAGGUGAGGUGUAGGGGCCACAUGACUGUGUGACUGGACUGAGUGCGAAGCCCUAAACUGUGUGCGAAGCGAAGAUAUGAGGGAUUACAGAGGGACAUGGUCGUGUGUGAGGCUAUGUGAUCCACAUGGGUUGGCUACACGCCUAUGUGAUAGGCCGUGUGCGAUUGGGAAGUUUCAAAUUUUGACUCAAUUUUUCAUAAAAGAUCACACACCUAAAUUCUAAAGUCUCGUACGAUGGUCCUCAUAUCCAAGUAUGAUCUAGAUUACCUACAUGUGUCUUUCUAUUGACAAAAUGCAAGAAUUAAUGACUGAUUUCAAUAUUUAGAGGGGUUCCAACAAUAUCAUAAAAGAUCCGUAAUGGAUAAAAGAUCUAACGAAAAUAAUGGUUUUCCAGAUUUGAUGAGAUCUAGCUAUUGGGAAACGAAAAGAGCUUACUGAUCUUGAUAGGAAUUUAGAAAUUGAUGCCGCGAAAUUCAAUGAUUAAUGAUAAACAAUUCGAUUUGGACUUGAUUGCAAAGUUAAGAUUCAAGAACUAAAUUUCAAGUAAAAACUUAAAGAGAUUUUUGUAAAAAAGGGUUUGUAGAGAAAAUAGGGAAGAAAUAGGUUAGAUCAAAUAGGAAAUCUUGAUUGUGCUAGGAAGUGAUUUAUUAGUUGGACCGUGGAAAAAAUAAGGGUUAUUUGGCAAUUAACCCUUUUUAGCCGAAAUCAAGGAAAAAAAGUGUAACCAACGUGACUUGAACUUAAAAUCAAGGGAAUGGAAAAGAAAAAACUUGGCCAUUAAGUUAAUAUCCAUUCUAUAAUUAUAUUUUACCACAAAUAAUACAUAAGCUAAUUUAGCAUUGGUUCCUUACGUGUAGAAAAGUAAAAGGGAAAAGUGAAAAAUGUGGGAUUUCAACUUGGAUCCUCUAGAGAUUUUACUAAACUCUUAAUCACUAAUGCUUCGUUAGUCAUGUCAGCACAGUUAACAGUUAACUAACAGUUUCCAUUAACGGAAUAAGCCAAUUGAUUUUUUUGGAUCACUUAGGGUUUAAUUGGAUGCACUUUUUUAAUAAGGGUUCAAUUAAUUUUUUUUAUUGAGGGUUUUUCUGACCCUUUGGCCUUUGUAAUAUUAUAGAUGAUUAAUUUAAUUUUGAUUCUUAUAUUACGUUCAAAUUUAAGAUUUAAUUUCUAUGCUUUAAUUCUUUAUAUAAUUUGAUUCAUCAACUUUUACAGUAUCUUAGUCUGUCUAAACACUUGAUUUUUUUUUUAUAAAAAUCCUAACGUGAAUUUUUUUUAAUACUAUUCUAAUAAAAAUUUAUUUUAUCAUGAUGAGUUAUAAUGGGUGUUUUUAAGAACAAUUCACAACAAUAUUUUAACUUACGUAAUUAAAAAUUUUAAUUACUAGAACUAACUAAUAUAAUUAUAAUGAUAGAGAGAUCAAUUUUUACCAAAUAAAAGUAUCGAAACUAAUCUCAACUUUUUUUUUGGUGAAAAAUAAAUCAAAGAUAUAGCAUAACAACUAAUGAGAGUCUUUAAAAGUUUUGUCUUGUUGAAGAACCGUAAUCACAAAAUUAGAAGCUCUUCAAAGAUUUAUAGAGAAUCUUACCAAAUAUAAAAAACUCAAAUUAAGCAUUAUAAAACCACCACAACCCUAAUAUGAUGAAAGACAAUAUAUACUUAAUCUAUAAUAAAUAUUAUAGUUAAAAUUAAAAAUUUGAUUCCAUCAAUUUUUUUUCUUUUUUGCACAAAUUCAUAUAUAAUAGAUUUGACUAUUAGAUUUAUUAUAUUAUAUCGAUUCAUGCUACAAAUCAAUUUGAACUCAAGAAUAUUCAUUAUUUAAAUUAACUUGUACAAAUAAUUCGUUACUAAAUUCAACUGCUUCACAAGAAUAAAAAUUUUGGAUAUUCAGACCAAAUAGCCAUUUAAUUCUUUUCAAAAAUAAUAAAUUUUAAUAUUUUUAAGAAUGAAGUAUUUUAUUUUUAUUUUUAUUUUGGUGAGAAAAUAAAAACUUAAAAAGUUACAAAAACAACGAUUGAGUGAUUGUAUCACUCAUAAGCUUGUCUCUAUCAAUAAAACCGCGAGACCACUCCAGAGGACAGCAAACACUUGCAUAUUGGCUUUUUCAAUCAACGCUUGCUUAGCUAGACAAUCCGCAACUUGAUUUUGUUCCCUUAGGAUAAAUCUUAGAGUCCACUGAGUUUCUUGAGAUAAAAUGGUAUGAAUAUGCCUGAUUAGAGCAGAGUUAGAAGAUGUAGAUGAACUUCCAAGAAUGGCUUUAACAACUUCCAGACAAUCAGAAAGAAUGAUAACUUGAUCAUGUCCUUGUCUUUGAACAAGUUUGAGUCCAUCUAAAAUGUCCCAAAGGUCCGCAUCAAAAACUGAGCAUUUACCGAGAAAUCUAUGAAAUCCAGCAAUUCGAUUACCAUCUUUAUCCCGAACAAUGCCCCCAACUGUAGCAAGUCCAGUAUCAAGUUGCACAGCUCUGUAAGUGUUAAGAUAAACUCACUCUUCAGUGGUGCGUGUUUUAGAAAAUUGUCUGAGGCAGGCGGAAGGGACUCUCUGAGGUAUGAAGUGAAGUUGAACCGCCCAGCUAAUGGAUCCUUGAACAAUUUCAUUAGUGCUCCACAGUUUGCCUUGAAAGAUGUAGAAGUUGCAAUUUUUCCAAAUACGCCAAAUAAGAAGACCAAAUAAACAGGCCCAACUAGCUCCUCCCGCAUGGAUCAACCUAUUUACCUAUAAAUUAAGAAUAAUCCAGUCUUGAGUGGGAAUUGAAAAAAAAUUAGAAAUAUACUUACUUGAAUUAACCUGAGCCCAAAUAUCCUUAGCAGUAGGACAAUCACGUAAAAUAUGUAAGGAAUCCUCCGAGUGAUGACCACAAAUCAGACAAGCGGGAUUAUCAGAAAAUCCUCUCCUGACUCUUUCGAUAUUGCUAAGAUUCUUCCCUGUAAAACCGUCCAAAUGAAAACGCAAACUCUAUGAGGUCCAAGGCUCUUCCACACAAUCUUUCAUUUCUCAUCUCUCGGGUUCCAGUCCCCCUCAUUAAGUGCUUUAUAAGCAGAUUUAACAGAGAAGUCCCCAAAUGAAGUAUGCCUCCAAGAGAUUCUGUCAGGACCUUCAGAAUGCUGAGGAGGUAGGAUACCCUUAAUGGCCUGAAUCACAUCUUCAGAUAACCAAGUCUAAAAGAGAUCAAGGUUCCACGAACCAUCUUCUGAAGUCAUCUCAUGUAAAAGGCAAUUAGGAUUUAGAUUGAGAUUUGGAGUAAUAUAUCGAAUGAGAGGUCCAAUAUGAGGAAUCCAAUUGUCCUUCCAGCAUUGAAUUUUAUGGCCAUCUCCAAUGGACCAGUACAGAUUUUCACGAAAUAAUGCCCAAAUUUUGGAUAAUGAUUUCCAAAGAAAAGAGCAUUUAUUCCUAUUAAUGCACUAUGGUAUUUUCUCCUUUACUUGAUACUUCGCUCUAACCACUCGAACCCAAAAGGCAUCUUUAUUCAACACCAAUUUGAAACACAGCUUCAUUAAGAAGGAAAUAUUCUGAUCACGGAGCUUCCUCAGCCCUAACCCUCCACACCCUCUAGGUUGACAAAUGGAAUCCCAGCCAACCAGGGACAUCUUUUUUUUGUCUUUCAGAAGAUCCCCAGAUAAAUUGCUUAACCAAACUUUCAAUCUCGUACCGAGUUUUCCUAGGUAUCAUUAUGGACUGCAUGAAGUAGCUAGAGAUAGAUAAGAGGACUGAUUGUGCCAAAGUGACUCGCCUGGCUAAAGAGAGCUUUUUAGCUUCUCAACUUUGAAGCUUACCACGAACUGGAAAGUGCUGCUAGUAACCUUUUGGUGGAAAAGAGGAACUACAAUAUAGUGACCCAGAUUAUGAACACGUUGAAAACCAAACAAUGAGCUAAUCGAAUUCACCAUAGUAUCAUCCACUCCUUUAGAAAAGAAUAUAUUGGUCUUUCUAGAAUUUAUUUUAUGACCAGACAACUCACAAAAAUUAUCCAGGAUGUUCUUUAAGACCCCACCAUAGCUUUACUAAAGAUAACCAAAUCAUCUACAAAAAAUAAAUGAGAGAUAGCAGGCCCAUUUCUAUUUAGUCAAAUAGGGCUCCAUUUACCUUCCAAGAUAGCAAACUGUAUCAGGUGACCAAGCCACUCCAUACAAAGCACAAAAAGGUAGGAGGAAAGGGGACACCCUUGACAAACUCCUCUAACAGGCUUGAACUUAGCCAGCGGUACUCCAUUCCAUAUAACCUGCAUGGUAGAAUUCGAGAUAGAUGACAUAAUAACAUUAAUAAGAAAGUCAAGGAUACCUGCCACUUGAAGAGAAGCUUCAAUGAACUCCCAACUAACUCUGUCGUAAGCCUUUUCCAAGUCAAUUUUGAUUGCCAUCCAUUUCUGUUUCUUCUGACUUCGCAUGGUGUGGAUCACUUCUUGAGCUAAGAUAAUGUUUUCAUUAAUGUUUCUCCCAGCAAUAAAACCAACCUGCUCAUGAGCAAUAAUUUUAGGGAAAAUAUGUUUAAAUCUAUUCGCAAUUACCUUCAUCGUAAACUUGUAAAGAACAUAACAAAGGCUGAUAGGCCAGAAUUGACUGAAGGUUUCCGAAUUCUGAAUCUUCAGGAUAAGAAAGAUCAAAGUGUUAUUCAAAUCAGAAUCAAUAGGAUUUCCUUCAAAGACCUUACAAACCCAGUCACAAAUCGCUUUCCCUAGAAUGUCCCAAUGCUUCUGAAAGAAAAGGGCAUGGAAGCCAUCAUUGCCUGGAGCUUUAAGAGGCGCCAUAUCAAACAUUGCCUCCUUGAUUUCUGUAUCUGAAACAGAUCUCCCCAAGAAAAUAAUGUCAACUGGAUCAAGUUGUGGGAAGCCACUAGAAGGAAAAUUUCCCAAAAUAGCAGGAAUUUCCCUAUAUAGUUUCUGACAAAACUUUUUUGCCUCACCCUCAAUAUCCUCCGGAUCAUAAAUCUAAUUCUCUUCAGCAUUGCAGAUAGGUAAUGCGAUUGUUUUUCCUCCUUUGCAAAGUACAAGUAUGGAAGAAUUUUGUAUUCUAGUCCCCUAGUUUUAACCAGUCACACUUUGCUUUUUGUUUCCAAAGAAGCUCUUCAUGGUGAAGAACAUCCUCAAGCUCUUGACGGAGAGACAAAUCGACAUGGUUUAAAUGAAUGGAGCCAGAAAUAUCCCUUUCUUUUUGUAUGUUAGCAAUUCUUUUGAAGAGAUCUCUCUUACGAGUAGUAAUGUGCCCAUAGACAUGUUUAUUCCAAUCCUUGAGCUCAUGAGUGAGUUUUCUAAGGGUCUCAGCCAUAUUUCUAGAAAAGUCUCAUUUUUCUUUAAGGAAGCCCUCAAAAUUAGGAUGUUCAAUCCAACCAGCUAAAAAUCUAAAAGGCCUCCCCCUAGGGAGCGAAUGACUUGGAUUUAGAACCAAAAAAAGAGAACGAUGAUCUGAUUUAAUCUUUGGGAGGUGAGUAACCAUACAAUCAGGAAAAUUUCGUAGCCAGGCUUCAUUUCCCAGAGCAUGAUCUAACCUUUCAAAAAGAGACCCCCUGUGCCAAUUAAAGAGAGGUCCUCUAAACCCUAAGUCAUGGAGUUCAGCAGAAGUAAUAAAGUCACCAAAAUACGAGCACCUCCUUCCCCUUGAAAGGCCUCCGGAUUUCUCAGAAGAGGAUAGGAUUGCAUUAAAAUCCCCAAUAGCAAUCCAAGAGCGCUGGCCACGAGAUAUAAAAUUCUUCAGCUCAUUCUAAAGAAGUUGGCGCCUCUAUCUAUUAGGGCUACCAUAGACAAAAGCGAUAAAGAUUGGAUGCGAUGCAGACAAGCACCAAAAUCGAGACAAAAUGAAUUGCGGAUGGCUACAAAUUACUUCGAGACGAACAGAAUCCCGCCAUCUUAACCAAAUACCCCCUGAGAAACCAAUUACCUCCACACGGUGGGAAAAUUGAAAUCCUAACUUAGAUAUAAUGUUGUCAGCCCUGUAGCCACUAACUCUCGGUUCAAGCAAGCUAACAAUAUCUAGUUUAUACUCUGUGUUAUAUUCCCGAAAAAUUCUAGGGAAUUUAACGUUUGCACAACCCUGAUAAUUCCACAAAAAGAUAGUGAUAUUCAUUAAAAAAUUAAUAGAAAAUGUAUCAUACCUGGUUUUAGGAUCAAUGCUGCAAUCUGAUUUUGAGUUUGCACCAUCAACCUCGACAUUCGAAUUCACGCCUAGAACUUGAGAAGAUAAAAGUUCUGCCAUUGCCACCAUAGACUCAGCUAGAGGAACACACGUGUUUCCAGGAGAUUUAAAACAAUUCCCUCUACCUCGUAGGGCAAAAUAAGUCUUUUUAGAAUUUCGGCUGUCAUUUUCUCUGCCACCAUUUCUUCUCUUUUUGGGACCAUUAGACUUUGAAUUUGGACCCAAUUCCAGAAAUUCCACAAACUUUGUUUUCGAAUUAUCCUGCUGCAUAAAAUUAAUAUUUUUAUCAAAACUAACAGUAGAGUGCUUACCUGGAUCGAGAGUGUUUUCUGAUAUAGGUACUAUGAAACCCUCGGAUUCAUAAAAAACAGGGUUGUAAUGUGAUUUAAUUUUUUCCAAAACUCUAGCUUCAUUGUUCUCCUGCAUUUUAGCGUCCAACUUGUUUUGGUUAAUAGCGUCUCCCACAGAAACAUUUUUAAAUAAAUGCAUCUGUUUUGAACCUGCCAGGAGUGUAUAAGUUAGGAUUAGAGAAAUUAUCAAAAGUUUCCCUAUUUUUACCUACGUCAUCCUCUAACCCCAUAAGCCUUUUUUCUAAUUUUUUGUCUAAAGAAACUUUGGAUUUUUGGCCCAUAAAGUUAUUCACAUUAUUUCCCAAUAAUUCCUUCAAAUCGGGUUCGUUAGAAAGGCCCAAAUUCUUGAUUUUCCUUUAGCCUGUAACCAUAAAAGAAUUGUUGACUCCUUUAAUGUCCUUAGAAUCUAAUCUCUUUAACUUUGCGGCCGAAACACCAUUUAAAGAAACCCCUAAAAAUCCUUCAGCCGAUUGUCCAGCUUUAAUGUUUGAAUUCUGUCCCGAUUCCAUGAACAAAUCCUGCCCAAAUUUCGUGAUUGAAUCUUUUCCCUCUGAUAGCACUGCGAAUCUGGAUCCAGAUGGAUGUUUAGAUUGCCUUGCCAAAAUCCCCGCCGUGGAAUCUUUCUUUCCUCACUGUGAAGCCUUCUUCUCUACGAACAUCCAUGGCCCAAAUUCUGGGCCCUUCUCUCUGUUAUCAGAAUUUUAUUUUUCCCUACCUGUGCUGUCCACCGGAGUAGAGACCGCCACGGUCAUUAGUUCGGCUUGAGGUUUGUCUGUCUUAUUCGCUAGUCUCGUGAGGUUUUGGCUUGACACAACCGAAUUACACAUCUCUUUUACGUGACCAUACUUGCCACAAGUAAAGCACACAGUCGGGAGGGCUUCAUAUUCAACAUGUUGAGCAAUUUCGUCAACAAGGACCUACGAAAUCAACGGUCUAUCAAGACUAAGGUACACGGCUAACCUAGCAAAUCAACCCCUGGUUUGGUUGUCAGUCUGCACAUCCAAUUUUACCACCUUUCCAAUGAGGCCCCCGAUGGCUUCGAUGAUCUUCCAUUUAUAAAGAUAUCCCGGAAGAUUAGGCAAUCGUAUCCACGCUAGCACAACACUCGGGUAAGGUUGCAAGAGGCUGAAAUGUUUAGUCCAUGGUUGUACGGUCAGAUACUGGCCAUAAACUGUUCAUGGACUCUGAGAUAAAACUCUAUUAUAAUCGUUAGGAUCCUGAAAUUUCACCAAAAAAUAUCCAUUAGCAAUAUCCUUAAUCUUAAUAGAAUUUACAAGAUUCCAAAGGAAAAGGAUGUGAUUAUGAAGUGCGUUGUAACCGAUAUUUCGUCCUAGAAGUUUAACAAUGAUAGUCAAUUCCAUUUCUUUGAAUAGGAUUUCCUUUACACGAUCUGAAAAAUUGAUAGCAGGAAUCCCGUCAAUGAUGGACAUAUUGACGUCCCCUUCAAAUAGUUCAAAUUCAUUCUCAUUAUCUGCGGAAGACCCAUCACGAAUAGAUUUGGAAGCAACAUCGUAGCCCCCCAGCAAUUUUUCUUUCCAUGUCAUACUUGUUUGUGAUUCGUGAUCCACAGCCAUAGAAGUGUCUUCAUCACCACCGUUCCCUUUAAACCUUACUUUUUUGGUAUUUCGAUCAUCGUCGGGGUGAGCGACUCCCUCCUCACCGUUAUCGAAAUUUUGCAAAGUUGAGAGCAUAUCAAGUGUAUUUAGAGUUGCAUGAAGUAUUUUAUUUUUAAUUGGAAUGUCAUGAGGUAUCUUUAUUUGACACUUGUCCAAUACAUUUUUUUAUUUUUUAAAUAUAUAACAAUGGA
Molecule: long non-coding RNA, 80431 nt
Filed under: Gossypium barbadense (sea-island cotton)
Lineage: Eukaryota; Viridiplantae; Streptophyta; Magnoliopsida; Malvales; Malvaceae
Description: long non-coding RNA (GBAR_LNC006667)
Source: RNAcentral